CUCUAGCGUUCGAUCUGGUAAGUGUACUGGUGGCCCAAGUGUACUGAUGUGCACCGUUUGUUUUGUUUUCUGUUUGUGUACUGGUAGCCCAAAGUGUACUGCAGUAUGUUAGUAGUGUAUUUGGGUGUACUUGUUUUUUCUUGCCAUCUGUCGCGUUAGGUAAGUAUACUAUUUGUAAGGCAAGUUGCGUUUAUUUGGGUGCGGUGGUAAUCUGAUGGGCUUUGAAUCAGCUGGCAAAUGAGUCUUGCGAAUCCUCUAAGCAGAGGCCCAUAUAACUCUUCUGAAGUGAGUUUCGUUUCUGAAUUCGUCGCCACAUUGUCGGAAAAAAAUAUUUCUGUGAAGUAGUAAGAGAUAGUGACGUCCUCUCACAAAUCAAAAUUAAAAAUAAAGAGAUAGUGACAUACCACAUUAUCUUGGCAACGACGACGAGGCAGCCAGCAACUCUGUUUCACGAAAGCAACCACAAGAAAUAUCGCACUCUUGAAAACAAUAUAAAACCGGAAGACCGGAGUGAGGUAGUUCUUAUCAAGUCAAUAGCAACAUAAAAACAGUGCACAUCCCCGCUAAAAGAAGACAGUGCGCAGUGUAAAAAACAGAAUUAUGACAUUUCUGAACAAGCAUAUCAACAUAAACUUGUGAAAAUAGCUGACACAACAAACAAUUGGUCUAGACCAAAUACAUUGAUAGUAGCAUUAGUGCGGCCUUUGCAGUUAUGGAUUGGUGAUUCAGGGGUUCUAUUGUUUAAGAUUAAAGAAGCCGAUAUUAAUUCUUCUGGAACUUCUAUUUAAGAACAGAUUAGCCAUAUUCAUCUUCUCGAGUCUCUAGGUUCUUUUCUGAUUACUGAUUAAUGAUGGGUUGCCUUCAUCUUUCAAAUCUGAAAGUAAAAAGUCUCAUAUCAUAACCGUCCCAAACAACACAAAGAGGAACAUCAUACUCAUUGCAAAUGACAGAAAGUUUCCAAAUAUUGAAUGGCAAGGCUACUAGGCUAGAACUUUCUUGCAGUGGUAUCACACUUGGUUUCACUCUCUUCUUCCACUUUCCAAGUGAUGACUGGAUCCAUGGUAUAUGUAAUUAGUAAAGAUUAAAGAACAGUCAUGAUAUUUUAAUGUAAACUGGAGAUUUGAUCUCAACCUCUCAGGUUCACCAAGGGGCAUCUACAAAAAGGUUAUACCAAGGGCCGCUAUCAAUGGGGCCGAGUGGUUUCCUUUCAUGGCAAAGGGAGAUUUGAUGUCGCUGUACUGUAUAUCUAAUUUCACGGCUCUAAGUGACCGCGACUAGCUUGAAGCCUUAAUUAACAACGAGAUCUCGUUGGUGCACUUACGGAUGAAUUUCCUCUGCAUAGUUCAUAUGUUUCUUUGGCAUGUAGGUCCAACCAGCUGAGAUUACAUAAUUGAUAGCUAUGCUUAUUGUUAAUGAAAUUCAAAAGAACCCGUAAAAUAAAAUAUCGUGUACAGAUAUCAUUUUCUGUUGCAACCAUGGCAUAAUUAAGAGGGAAAUCUACUUCAAGGUGACAAAACUAGUCAUGUUCAUAUGAUGCCUGUAAAGCCUAUUGCAUUAUAAAAUGGAAUGCUACAUUAAACUGCAAAAUUCCCCUUUCCUCGGCCAAUGGAAUGCCUAGAUAUUGCGCUCACAAUCAACGCUUUCUCACCAAUCAAUGACCGCUAGCCCAAUCAGAAGCCUUCUCCAAUCGAACAAAUCGCCUUUUCUUGUUUCCCGUGCAAGAGAUUUGGGACAGAAGUGGUAGCUAGGCUGAGUAGGGUAGGAGAGAAUUAAGUAAAAGUUGACGCAGAAAGAAUGCGAGCCUGAAGCGUGCAAGAAGUGAGGCAAAGUAAGGAAGGCCCAGCGCAUGCGUAUACUGGAUGGUUUGUUUUUUGGAAAAGGAGAAUUUUUUUUGGGAAAUGAGGAGGACCUGCAUCUGGACGAUGCAUGCAACUACUUUAUUAAUUAUUUACACGAGACCUUACAAAGUCAUACACAAGUAAGACUAAAGCCACCGUCUAGACAACAUCUGUUGGUACUCCUAUCCAGUAGAUGAAGGGAUGCUAAUAGUCUGGGCCUAAUACCAAACAGACCUCGCAGCCAAUCCUAACAUCUAAGACCUGAGGUCUCAACCAGGACGCCUGCCGGGUAUGGGGCACCCACCAGUCCGGCGCACUCCUCAACCAGGACACCUGUCGGGUAUGAGGCCGCCGCAGCCACCUGCCACCAAUCCAUCUUCAGUGUUGUACUGCUGCAUCUAACUUGCCCGGUCUAGCUGCCGUCGACGUCACCACGACGCCAGACAACGCCACCAUCCUGCGCUCGUCCAUCAUCACACGCCCACCGGCGAGACCCCGCUGCUCCAUGCCGCCGAGACCCGUCGUCGUCGACGCGAGAGAAGGCACGCCACACCACCUCAUUCCUCUUCCAUCCGACGCCGCUCCACAAACAAUGCCCCCAAGAGGGAACACGACACCAUAGCGCCGCUAUCGUCCGAUCCGGUGAUCUUAGGACUUCUCCCGGAGCGGCACGAGCAGGUUGACGAUAGUUGCUUGAUGAUGCCUUCAUCCAGGUAACGACGUAGACGCCGCCAUCACCCGCCAUGACCGGAGUCGGCUCGGUUUUCACCGGCAACUAUGUCUCCCCAACUCGCCGCCGAUGCUAAUAGUGGGAUCCAAGAUCUGUCAAUACGAGCCUGGCCAACCGCAUUUGGUGGAGAAGGCAGCCACCACUACCAUGCCCGGGCCAAGAGACCCGGACGUCCUCGUGCCACGAAGAUAACCCAAGGGGAUCUCCUCUUGUCGUUGUUGAGACGAGGCGCAACCGCAGUGGAGCUCGAUCUAAAUCCCUCGGUCCCAGAUUAGAUCUCAUCGCAGCCAAAAUCUCAUCCGCCAACGGCCGCCGCAGAUCUCCUGGCCACCGCCAACCCGCUGCGCACUGCCGUUGGAGGAGGAGGGAGAUGGAUGCCGCUGCCCCCACGCGUUACCGCUGGCCAAGGACUGCGUCGCCGCCGCCGCCUCACCACAGGGGCUUCGCCCCGCGGCUUCCUCAGCGACGGCGGCGGUAGUGGUAGGCGAUGGAGAGGAAGGGCUGAGGGCAGUGUGGACGGGGACUCCCCGGGGGCGGCGCGACGCCGCAGCCUCGGGGGAGAGGAUAAACCCCCGGUCUCUGCAUCUGGACGAUGAAUGCGUUACGUAUACUGGAUGGUGAAUCAUCCCUGGCCUUUUCAUGUGACAUGCAUCCAUCCAUCAGACGAACACUUGGCUGAAAGCAUGUACUGUAAACAUCAGACUGAGUCUGGGAUGGAUACUUGGAUAGAGAGCAUUCCGGCCUCCAAGUUGCCGGAUAGAUUCCGAUUCAUGGUGGACACCACUAAUAAUUGGUAUAUUCCUGCUGGAUCCGGUGUGCUUGGUCGCGCCAACGGUUUAUGCAGAACGAUAUGCUGCUUUGCUUUGCUUCAACUAAUCGGAAUGGCCGGUGCUGCCAUCUUUAUAGCUAGUAUCUACAGCGACAGGUAAGGUUCGAGAUGCCAUCGUUCAUGUUCAGAGCUAAAAUCUCUGUUUAUCUGAUAUAUGAGCUAGAAAUUUUCUCGCACCAACUGCCUUAUUUUGAUUGGGAUGGAUUACUGCUGCAUUAGAGUUGCUGCGUCGGCGACCUGCUGCUGAUGAUUUGGUCCGGUAUCCUUCGUGUUGGUGUUAAGCAGGGGCUCCUUUCGCCAGGUGAUUUGUCAGGAUGAUGGUUAGGAAAGCCAUGGCCGGCCAUCCACGUAUUGUUCAUGCAAAUAGAGAAGCUACACAUGAUUGUGCACAUUGGCGUCUUUCGCCGGAUCACAUGCUACUACGAUUUCAUCGUUGUCAGGCUUGCUAAUAGUCCUGCAGACACCAAUGGGCAAGUUCGUCAGAACUUGAAUGCUAUGCCUCAAUCACUGAAACUAAGAGGAUCCAUGGAACUGAAACGGAAUCCAGAUUCUGUUUGUGAUUUGCCUAUCCGGUUCCACAGGAAUUUAUGACACCAAAGACUUGCUUGGUUCAGAUUUGUACGGCUGACGAGGCUUCCCACGUUUUCCUUUUUCCCUCACAAUUUCGCCAAACCUACACAAUUUGAGUUCUUAGUCGUUGGAGCGACAGAAAGAGAGUCUUUACACAUAAUUGCUAGUAUGAUCGAUCCACUUUAGCCAUGGCAACAUGUUGCAAAGAGAUGCACAUUUUCCUUUCUAGAAGGACUGAACCUGCCCGUACUGUCUGCCUCAUUAGGGCAAGUGACCAAUCAUGCGCGCCAUUGAUGCAUAUAUGGUUCUCGAAGCAAGGCCCCGUAAAGGCAGCAGAGGCUACCAAGCCUACAACGGAGCGGCCACCCAAUCCACCCGCGAGCGCAUGUGGCUAAUCCUGGAUCACAUCACACUCACCUCCCUCGCCCAGAUCGUUUUAUGAGGACAGGUUCAGUGGAUCUGCGUGGUUCCGCCUGCGGCCCCCGGUCGAACACACUCCUGGCCCUUCUUGUCAACAAGAACAGUAGGAGGAGUAGAUGAGGAGACCACACACGUACAUAUGCUCAGUUUACCAGAUACUACAUACAACAUACAAAACUUACGUGAUGGUAACUAGCACCAUGUGGUAGGAAACAUUUGAAAGUCAUCGGUAAUCGGUUCAGGAAAGAUACCGUCACAGAUAACACUAGAUAAUCCAUUUUCUUGGUGGGAAAGUCAUCAAAAAACAGUCUUGAAAAUAGAUGCCCGUCAGUGAUAGAAUUUAUAACAUUAAAAGUUUUUAUAAUGGAAUCCGUCUAUGGUAACUUGCGGUCACUGAUGGCUGACACCUAGGCUUACACUGACGUGCCACUUGUGGCCCGUCGGUGAUGUUCAUAUGUGACCGGUGGCUCCUUCUGCCAUUAGUAAUGGGGGGGUCAGUGCUAUUCGGUUCUGUAGUAGUGAUAGAGCAACAAUUAAUCGAUUUGUAAUAUUAUGUAUUUUUUGUAAACUUGUGGGCAAUUCAUCCUUCUGAGACCAUGACCAACUACCGCUGCAUCCACGAUUACAUUGUCCAACCUUUGACCUAACCGACUCACGGGGUUACCAUGAUUAUUUAGGAUAAAACCAGACCAACGUAUUAGCGUUGUAUGGCUACAUCGUUGGCUUCCCCAAGAAUUUGGUUCCAGCUACCGUACAUACCUUGCUAUCACCGGAUUUCCGCAUAGCCUUCCGCUCUUCUCUGCUCUUUACCCCUCCUUGUACUGAUCUUCGGUCUCCCGGUUGCCGGUGAGACCUGGGAUCGAGGUAGAGACAGGAUGCAAAAUCAUAUCGUCAGUGUCAUCUUUUGCAUACAUGGGGUAGCAAUGCUACACCUUGUCCUGAAGGGACUACAUACUCACACAUCACGAUCAAAUCACAAGCACAUGACAUUGUAAAAAAACGUACUUGAAGAUUAAUGAUUGAUAGUUUUACAAUGUCACUAAUCAUGAUGGAAUUUUGAUUACUAGUAAAUGAUCUAAUGGAGAGGAGGUGGAUAUGGAGAUGUGAUGUUGAUGGCGUACGUGUGGAGGCUGCGAAAGGGAACCGCAUGUUGUUCUAACUUCUAGGGGCGAUAGAGAUUCCCCGGGGUCUUCCUUGUCCUUUUAUAUAGUGCAGAUGGGCGGAAUAGGGUUUUGGUUGUGAAUUUGGCUCGGAGCCCUUCCCACUAGUUGCUUGGGAUCACUUCACAGAGGUGGCUGCGUGUGGUAUGAGCGCUUGUAAUCAUAUUGCAUAGGGGCUUCUCUUCAGUUGGCUCUGGUGCGUGCCAAAUUAUAUGGAAAUGAUUAUCUCCUCAUGUACAUCUCAUAUAUGACUUGAUUUUCCUCCUAAAAACGUUCAUUUCUAGUAGGAACAAAAUAAACAAGGAGUCAGAUUUGUGUAUCUUUACAUUUAUUAGUCAUUAGAGGGCAAGUUGAAGUGAUAAUCACAGAAAAUAUCCGAGAAUAACUCGCUUAGACGCGGGUAAAAAUGCUUGUGAGUACCACUCAUCAAUAUGUAUGAAGUUGUGGAACCUAUAUGAUGCUCAAUGUUAUCCGGUAUCAUUUCUCAAAUAGGCUCAACAUUGUCCAUGAUAUGCCUGGAUAUUAGGUUUAACAUUCUUCUCUCGGACCAGAAAUGUGUUCAUCUUCUUUGAACAAGCUUACAAAUGCGUUGAAGACAUUGUUAUGAGUCGAUAACUGCAAAUAAUAAUCUAAUACCUUCAGUGGCGGGGCUAGCAUCGGAUCAUACCUAGGGCUAAGCUAGCUCAAGGGAUGCACUCUGGUCAUUUUCUAUAUUUCAUAAGAAGGAAAUGCAAAGGGCAAUAGCCCCAGCCGCCCUAGAUCUGUCUCCGCUAGUAACUACAUCGAGAUAGACAAAAUUAGACUAUAUCACCACACCAUGUUUCGGGGCCUCACCUAGCAAUAUGUAUAUGAAGACAUUGUUACAUGAUUAAACUACAUCAACUAAUCUAAUAAGUAGAACUAACUCCAUCAACAUGUGGAAGAUGGCAAAUAGAGAAUUUCCAAAUAACUGCAUUAAUUGAAGUACUCUAUGAUUGCACAGUACAUGUGAUUCUAUAAUGGCAAAUUAUUAUUGGUAACCAACGAGGUUGGGAAAAAGUUGAAUUACUUUUUAAAAAAUUGAAUUGCACUCAGGUAAGAUGUAUUUUCCAAAUUUUAAUCCCUCAUUACAAAGAAAAAAUGGAUAAAAUCUAAUUAUGCACCAGACUUUCUCACUGGUUAUCUUUUUUGGCCGGCCUAGAGAGAGGAGGAAACAAGUAGGAGCGACAAGCGGCGGCUAUGUUGCUUUCUAGAGUAGCAUCGAAGUUCUAAGAUAGGGAAGAGGCCGGAAAUGAAUGGUGCACAGGAUCAGCGUGAUGCUAUUAUGGCCUUCUGAUUCAUUCUUUAUGUUGGGAGGGGAAAUAUUUGGUAUACCCAUCCUUGGGGUACUCCCGGUGCUCCAAGUUCAAAAACAAAUCUUAAAUGUUUCCAAUUUUUUUGAAAAAAUGGGAAUGUUCGCUAGGAAUGUGACUACAACCCCUAGAAAUUUCAGGUCCAAACUCGAAAUGCACAUUGAGAAAAAAAAUGUGAAAUCCAGAUGUAAAUAGCGUCAAUAUUGAUUUUAUCUUUUUCUUACACUAUUCAUGCCAAAUUUCACAUUUUUGUUUCUUGAUGUACAUUUCAAGUUUUGACCAGAAAUUUUUACGGGUUGUAGUUACAUUCCUUGUGAACAUUCACCUUUUUUCAGAAUUUUUUGAAAUAUUUCUGAAUGUUUUUUUUAAACUUGGAGCACCGGGUGUACCCCAAGGAUGGGAGUACCUGAUACUUUCCCUAUGUUGGGAUUUCAUGUAAUCAAGGGAUUUAUAAUGAAGUUUAGUGUCUUCUUCUUGGAUGUUUUGAUAAUUGUGACAUAGUGCUGGUUUGAUCAACAGGAUAGUUGGUUUUAGCCUGGGGCUUGAGUGAUCAGCUCCUCGACAUUCCUCUUGUUUUUUCUUGCUUCAAUCAAACCGAGGGCCAAAAGCUCCUUAAUUAAGAAAAAGACUGCUAGUUCGAUAGCAAAAGAUACUGCUAUUUCACAUAUGCACUGGGGAUAAGUGAACCGUGACCCCUGUGUCGUCCUCUUGGCGACUAUAGGGGCGAUGCCCUAGCACUGCAACUUCCCCCACCAUACCUCCCUUGUCUCAUCGCCGCUUGAGGCUCUGGGCGGCGAACUUCACAUGUGUCCCGGGAUGGCGGUAGUGGGGUACCUCUCUGGUUUGCGCGAGGUGGAAGGACUAGAUGGCUCUUGUCGACAUGGGUGGUGGAAAUUCGGUGAUGCACGGUGGUGCUGUGAGGGUGGAGGGCCGAUGGCAUCUCGCACCACCAGUGUUCAGAGCUAUCCUCCCCCGCUAUGGUGUAUGCUUGGUGGUGGCGCGUAGAGCAUAUGGUGGGGGUGUAGCGGCGUAGCCUUUCAUGGACCAAAUCUAGGUCCGACCAGGACAUCAUGGCUCCUUUGGCGCCGUGGGGACACUGCUUCAUCGGCAUGAGACUCUGGAGGUGAAGGGUGGAGGAGGAUUGUUGGGGAACGCAGUAAUUUCAAAAAAUCCUACGCACACGCAAGAUCAUGGUGAUGCAUAGCAACAAGAGGGGAGAGUGUAGUCCACGUACCCUCGUAGACCGAAAGCGGAAGCGUUAUGAAAACGCAUUUGAUGUAGUCGUACGUCUUCAGGAUCCGACCGAUCCUAGUACCGAAAGUACGGCACCUCCGUGAUCUGCACACGUUCGACUCGGUGACGUCCCACGAACUCUUGAUCUAGCUGAGUGUCAGGGGAGAGCUUCGUCAGCAUGACAGCGUAAUGACAGUGAUGAUGAAGCUACCGGCGCAGGGCUUUGCCUAAGCACUGCAACGAUAUGACCGAGGUGGAUUAUGGUGGAGGGGGCACCGCACACGGCUAAGAGAUCAAUGAUCAACUUGUGUGUUCUAGGGUGCCCCUGCCCCCGUAUAUAAAGGAGCAAGGGGGGAGGCCGGCCGGCCCUAGGGCGCGCCAAGGAGGGGAGGAGUCCUCCUCCUAGUAGGAGUAGGACUCCCCUUUUCCUAGUCCAACUAGGAGGGGGGAGGGGGAAGGAACGAAAGGGAGAGAGGGAGGGAAAGAGGGGGAGCCGCCCCCUCCUUGUCCAAUUCGGACUCCUCAAGGGGGGCGCGCAACCAGCCCUAAGGCCCCAUCCUCUCUCUCACACACAAGGCCCAUGUUGGCCCAUUAGUUUCCCCGGGGCUCCGAUAACCCCCCGGCACACCGAUAAUUAUCCGGUGACCCCCGGAACUCACCCGGUGUCCGAAUAUAGUCAUCCAAUAUAUCAAUCUUUAUGUCUCGACCGUUUCAAGACUCCUCGUCAUGUCCGUGAUCACAUCCGGGACUCCGAACUAUCUUCGGUACAUCAAAACACAUAAACUCAUAAUACCGAUCGUCACCGAACGUUAAGCGUGCGGACCCUACGGGUUCAAGAACUAUGUAGACAUGACCGAGACUCAUCUCCGGUCAAUAACCAAUAGCGGAACCUGGAUGUUCAUAUUGGCUCCCACAUAUUCUACGAAGAUCUUUAUCGGGGAAACCGCAUAACAACAUACAUUGUUCCCCUUGUCAUCGGUAUGUUACUUGCCUGAGAUUCUAUCGUCGGUAUCUCAAUACCUAGUUCAAUCUCGUUACCGGCAAGUCUCUUUACUCAUUCCAUAAUGCAUCAUCCCGCAACUAACUCAUUAGUCACAUUGUCUGCAAGGCUUAUAGUGAUGUGCAUUACCGAGAGGGCCCAGAGAUACCUCUCCGACAAUCGGAGUAACAAGUCCUACUCUCGAUCUAUGCCAACUCAACAAGUACCAUCGGAGACACCUGUAGAUCACCUUUAUAAUCACCCAGUUACGUUGUGACGUUUGGUAGCACACAAAGUAUUCCUCCAGUAUUAGGGAGUUGCAUAAUCUCAAAGUCAUAGGAACAUGUAUAAGUCAUGAAGAAAGCAAUAGCAGCAUACUAAAUGAUCAAGUGCUAAGCUAACGGAAUGGGUCAAGUCAAUCACAUCAUUCUCUAAUGAUGUGAUCCCGUUAAUCAAAUGACAACUCAUGUCUAUGGCUAGGAAACCUAACCAUCUUUGAUUCAACGAGCUAGUCAAGUAGAGGCAUACUAGUGACACGCUGUUUGUCUAUGUAUUCACACAUGUACUAAGUUUCCGGUUAAUACAAUUCUAGCAUGAAUAAUAAACAUUUAUCAUGAUAUAAGGAAAUAUAAAUAACAACUUUAUUAUUGCCUCUAGGGCAUAUUUCCUUCAGUCUCCCACUUGCACUAGAGUCAAUAAUCUAGAUUACACAGUAAUGAUUCUAACACCCAUGGAUCUUGGUGCUAAUCAUGUUUUGCUCGUGAGAGAGGCUUAGUCAACGGGUCUGCAACAUUCAGAUCCGUAUGCAUCUUGCAAAUCUCUAUGUCUCCCUCCUUGACUUGAUCGUGGAUGGAAUUGAAACAUCUCUUGAUGUGCUUGGUUCUCUUGUGAAAUCUGGAUUCCUUUGCCAAGGAAAUUGCACCAGUAUUGUCACAAAAGAUUUUCAUUGGACCCGAUGCACUAGGUAUGACACCUAGAUCGGAUAUGAGCUCCUUCAUUCAGACUCCUUCAUUUGCUGCUUCCGAAGCAGCUAUGUACUCCGCUUCACACGUAGAUCCCGCCACGACGCUUUGUUUAGAACUGCACCAACUGACAGCUCCACCGUUCAAUAUAAAUACGUAUCCGGCUUGUGACUUAGAGUCAUCGGGAUCAGUGUCAAAGCUUGCAUCGGCGUAACCAUUUACGACGAGCUCUUUGUCACCUCCAUAAACGAGAAACAUAUCCUUAGUCCUUUUCAGGUAUUUCAGGAUGUUCUUGACCGCUGUCUAGUGAUCCACUCCUGGAUUACUUUGGUACCUCCCUGCUAAACUAAUAGCAAGGCACAGAUCAGGUCUGAUACAUAGCAUUGCAUACAUGAUAGAGCCUAUGGCUGAAGCAUAGGGAACAACUUUCAUUUUCUCUCUAUCUUCUGCAGUGGUCGGGCAUUGAGUCUGACUCAACUUCACACCUUGUAACACAUGCAAGAACCCUUUCUUUGCUUGAUCCAUUUUGAACUUCUUCAAAACUUUAUCAUGGUAUGUGCUUUGUCAAAGUCCAAUUAAGCAUCUCGAUCUAUCUCUAUAGAUCUUGAUGCCAAUAUACAAGCAGCUUCACCGAGGUCUUUCAUUGAAAAACUCUUGUUCAAGUAUCCUUUUAUGCUAUCCAGAAAUUCUAUAUCAUUUCCAAUCAACAAUAUGUCAUUCACUAAUAUUAGAAACGCUACAGAGCUCCCACUCACUUUCUUGUAAAUACAGGCUUCUCCAAAAGUCUGUAUAAAACCAUAUGCUUUGAUCACACUAUCAAAACGUUUAUUCCAACUCCGAGAUGCUUGCACCAGUCCAUAAAUGGAUCGCUGGAGCUUGCACACUUUGUUAGCAUCCUUUGGAUCGAUAAAACCUUCAGGUUGCAUCAUAUACAACUCUUCUUCCAGAAAUCCAUUCAGGAAUGCAGUCUUUACAUCCAUUUCCAAAUUUCAUAAUCAUAAAAUGCAGAAAUUGCUAACAUGAUUCGGACGGACUUAAGCAUCGGUACAGGUGAGAAUGUCUCAUCGUAGCACUACUAGGAAAAGGCCUGCUAGUGGCGCACCUGUUUUGCCUACUAAUGGCGCACUACAGGUGCGCCACUAGCAUCACGCCAUUAGAAUUUUUUACUAAUGGCGCACCAGGUAGUGCGCCAUUAGUACAUCACACGGUGCGCCAUUACUAUCUGACUUAGUAAUGGCGCACCACAUAGAAGUGCGCCAUUACUAACAUUUUUUUUCAAAAAAAAUUCAGAAAUAUUUUUUUCAAUUUUUUUUUUCUUAAUCUCGGGUCACCAUGGCUUGAUCUCAGGUCAAUAUGCUUAAUCUCAAGUCAAAUCGCACUCCGUGGUCAAACUUCCCAAAAGGUUUUCAGCCCAAGCACGCUUAACUUCAGAGUUCUAUCCAACCCCAGCACCAGCUCACUUAACAUGCACUUGUUGAUAUAUCUAGCAUAUCAAUCUUAUUAAACCUUGUUGAUGUCUAGGACUUUGUUCAUGUUCAUGAGUGUGAUGAAAUUUUGAAAAAAUAUUUCAAACUUCCCGGUCAUAUUACGUAUCAUAUUUUGAAAAAAAAAUUAAAAAAAAGUUUUUUUGAAACCAAUUUUUUUCUGUUACUAGUGGCGCACCUAGCAAAUGGUGUGCCACUAGUAAGUUUGAAUUUUUUCCAUUUCCCCCUCUAGAUCUUAAAAGCCCCGUAUCUUUCGGUCUGUUAGGUUUUUGGGGAUUUUGAAGAUGUUGAACGGGGUUCCCCCGGUUCAAUUCGUAUGUAACUUUUCGAGUAGAUGAUUUUUCAUAUAAAAAACUUUUUAAUCCGAGUUCGUAUGCAAAAGUUAUGCCCAUUUUACAAAUUCCAGAGAGAUUUUGUAAAUAAAGUCGAAAUUCAUAUUUGUAAAUUUUCCCAACAACUAGACCACAUAUCACAUGGGAAACUUAUUUUAUUUUAUUUUUUUUGACAUUUCCAUCAUUUUCUUUCAUUUUUUCUAAAACUGAAAAGGAGGUCCACAAGGGGGGUGCAUUCGGUGGAAUUUUUGGGCAAAGUUAGUAAUGGCGCNNNNNNNNNNNNNNNNNNNNNNNNNNNNNNNNNNNNNNNNNNNNNNNNNNNNNNNNNNNNNNNNNNNNNNNNNNNNNNNNNNNNNNNNNNNNNNNNNNNNNNNNNNNNNNNNNNNNNNNNNNNNNNNNNNNNNNNNNNNNNNNNNNNNNNNNNNNNNNNNNNNNNNNNNNNNNNNNNNNNNNNNNNNNNNNNNNNNNNNNNNNNNNNNNNNNNNNNNNNNNNNNNNNNNNNNNNNNNNNNNNNNNNNNNNNNNNNNNNNNNNNNNNNNNNNNNNNNNNNNNNNNNNNNNNNNNNNNNNNNNNNNNNNNNNNNNNNNNNNNNNNNNNNNNNNNNNNNNNNNNNNNNNNNNNNNNNNNNNNNNNNNNNNNNNNNNNNNNNNNNACUAACUUUGAAAAAAAAUAAAAAAAAAUUGUUAGUAGUGGCGCACCGAUGGUGUGGUGCGACGCACUGUCCCUGGUGCGCCAUUACUAGUUUUGACAAAUAAAUAAAUAAAAAUUGUUAGUAGUGCCGCACUGAGGGUGUGGUGCGCCAUUACUAGUUAAACUAGUAAUGGCACACUAUCCCCUGGUGCGCCAUUACUAUUUUUGAAAAAAAAUAAAAAAAUUUGUUAGUAGUGGCGCACCGUGGAUGUGGUGCGCCAUUAGUAUUUGGACACUAAUGGCGUACCAACACAUGGUGCGCCAUUAGUAUAUAGUAGUGGCGCACCACAUGUGUGGUGCGCCAUUAGUGCCAAUAUUAUCUAUAGCCCUUUUCCUGGUAGUGUAGUCAACUCCUUGAACUUGUCGAAAACCUUUUGCAACAAGUCAAGCUUUGUAGACAGUAACAUUACCGUCAGCGUCAGUCUUCUUCUUGAAGAUCCAUUUAUUCUCGAUGGCUUGCCGAUCAUCGGGCAAGUCAACCAAAGUCCACACUUUGUUCUCAUACAUGGAUCCCAUCUCAGAUUUCAUGGCCUCAAGCCAUUUCGCGGAAUCUGGGCUCAUCAUCGCUUCCUCAUAGUUCGUAGGUUCGUCAUGGUCAAGUAACAUGACCUCCAGAACAGGAUUACCGUACCACUCUGGUGCGGAUCUUACUCUGGUUGACCUACGAGGUUCAGUAGUAACUUGAUCUGAAGUUACAUGAUCAUCAUCAUUAGCUUCCUCACUAAUUGGUGUAGGAGUCACAGGAACAGAUUUCUGUGAUGAACUACUUUCCAAUAAGGGAGCAGGUACAGUUACCUCAUCAAGUUCUACUUUCCUCCCACUCACUUCUUUCGAGAGAAACUCCUUCUCUAGAAAGGAUCCAUUCUUAGCAACAAAUGUCUUGCCUUCGGAUCUGUAAUAGAAGGUGUACCCAACAGUCUCCUUUGGGUAUCCUAUGAAGACACAUUUCUCCGAUUUGGGUUCGAGCUUAUCAGGUUGAAGCUUUUUCACAUAAGCAUCGCAACCCCAAACUUUAAGAAACGACAACUUGGGUUUCUUGCUAAACCACAGUUCAUAAGGUGUCGUCUCAACGGAUUUAGAUGGUGCCCUAUUUAACGUGAAUGCAGCCGUCUCUAAAGCAUAACCCCAAAACAAUAGCGGUAAAUCAGUAAGAGACAUCAUAGAUCGCACCAUAUCUAGUAAAGUACGAUUACGACGUUAGGACACACCAUUACGCUAUGGUGUUCCGGGUGGCGUGAGUUGCGAAAUUAUUCCGCAUUGUUUCAAAUGAAGACCAAACUCGUAACUCAAAUAUUCUCCUCCACGAUCAGAUCAUAGAAACUUUAUUUUCUUGUUACGAUGAUUUUCCACUUUACUCUGAAAUUCUUUGAACUUUUCAAAUGUUUCAGACUUAUGCUUCAUCAAGUAGAUAUACCCAUAUUUGCUCAAAUCAUCUGUGAAGGUGAGAAAAUAACGAUACCCACCGCGAGCCUCAACAUUCAUCGGACCACAUACAUCAGUAUGUAUGAUUUCGAACAAAUCUGUUGCUCGCUCCAUUGUUCCGGAGAACGACGUUUUAGUCAUCUUGCCCAUGAGGUAUGGUUCGCAAGUACCAAGUGAUUCAUAAUGAAGUGAUUCCAAAAGUCCAUCAGAAUGGAGUUUCUUCAUGCGCUUUAUACCAAUAUGACCUAAACGGCAGUGCCACAGAUAUGUUGCACUAUCAUUAUCAACUCUGCAUCUUUUGGCUUCAAUAUUAUGAAUAUGUGUGUCACUACUAUCGAGAUUCAACAAAAAUAGACCACUCUUCAAGGGUGCAUGACCAUAAAAGAUAUUACUCAUAUAAAUAGAACAACCAUUAUUUUCUAAUUUAAAUGAAUAACCGUCUCUCAUCAAACAAGAUCCAGAUAUAAUAUUCAUGCUUAACGCAGGCACCAAAUAACAAUUAUUCAGGUCUAAAACCAAUCCCGAAGGUAGAUGUAGAGGUAGCGUGCCGACUGCGAUCACAUCGACUUUGGAACCAUUUCCCACCCGCAUCGUCACCUCAUCCUUAGCCAAUCUUCGCUUAAUCCGUAGUCCCUGUUCCGAGUUGCAAAUAUUAGCAACAAAACCAGUAUCAAAUACCCAGGCACUACUGCGAGCAUUAGUAAGGUACACAUCAAUAACAUGUAUAUCACAUAUACCUUUGUUCACCUUGCCAUCCUUCUUAUCCGCCAAAUACUUGGGGCAGUUCCGCUUCCUGUGACCAGUCCCUUUGUAGUAGAAGCACUCAGUCUCAGGCUUAGGUCCAGACUUGGGCUUCUUCACUUGAGCAGCAACUUGCUUGCUGUUCUUCUUGAAGUUCCCCUUCUUCCCUUUACCCUUUUUCUUGAAACUGGUGGUCUUGUUGACCAUCAACACUUGAUGCUCUUUCUUGAUUUCUACCUCCGCAGCCUUUAGCAUUGCGAAGAGCCCAGGAAUUGUCUUAUCCAUCCCUUGCAUAUUAUAGUUCAUCACGAAGCUCUUGUAGCUUGGUGGCAGUGACUGAAGAAUUCUGUCAAUGACACUAUUAUCAGGAAGAUUAACUCCCAGUUGAAUCAAGUGAUUGUUAUACCCAGACAUUUUGAGUAUAUGCUCACUGACAGAACUAUUCUCCUCCAUCUUGCAGCUGUAGAACUUAUAUAUUGGAGACUUCAUAUCUCUCAAUCCGGGCAUUUGCUUGAAAUAUUAACUUCAACUCCUGGAACAUCUCAUAUGCUCCAUGAUGUUCAAAACGUCGUUGAAGUCCCGGUUCUAAGCCGUAAAGCAUGUCACACUGAACUAUCGAGUAGUCAUCAGCUUUGCUCUGCCAGACGUUCAUAACAUCUGGCGUUGCUCCUGCAGCGGGUUUGGCACCUAGCGGUGCUUCCAGGACGUAAUUCGCAGUAAUGAGGAUAAUCCUCAAGUUACGGACCCAGUCCGUGUAGUUGCUACCAUCAUCUUUCAACUUAGCUUUCUCUAGGAACGCAUUAAAAUUCAACGGGACAACAGCACGGGCCAUCUAUCUACAACAACAUAGACAUGCAAAAUACUAUCAGGUACUAAGUUCAUGAUAAAUUAAAGUUCAAUUAAUCAUAUUACUUAAGGACUCACACUUAGAUAGACAUCCCUCUAAUCAUCUAAGUGAUCACGUGAUCCAUAUCAACUAAACCAUGUCCAAUCAUCACGUGAGAUGGAGUAGUUUUCAAUGGUGAACAUCACUAUGUUGAUCAUAUCUACUAUAUGAUUCACGCUCGACCUUUCAGUCUCAGUGUUCCGAGGCCAUAUCUGCAUAUGCCAGGCUCGUCAAGUUUAACCCGAGUAUUCUGCGUGUGCAAAACUGGCUUGCACCCGUUGUAUGUGAACCUAGAGCUUAUCACACCCGAUCAUCACGUGGUGUCUCGGCACGACGAACUUUCGCAACGGUGCAUACUCAGGGAGAACACUUGUACCUUGAAAUUUAGUGAGAGAUCAUCUUAUAAUGCUACCGUCGAACUAAGCAAAAUAAGAUGCAUAAAGUAUAAACAUCACAUGCAAUCAAUAUAAGUGAUAUGAUAUGGCCAUCAUCAUCUUGUGACUUUGAUCUCCAUCUCCAAAGCACCGUCAUGAUCACCAUCGUCACCGACUUGACACCUUGAUCUCCAUCGAAGCGUCGUUGUCGUCUCGCCAACUAUUGCUUCUACGACUAUCGCUACCGCUUAGUGAUAAUGUAAAGCAAUUACAUGGCGAUUGCAUUUCAUACAAUAAAGCGACAACCAUAUGGCUCCUGCCAGUUGCCUAUAACUUUGUUACAAAACAUGAUCAUCUCAUACAAUAAAAUUUAGCAUCAUGUCUUGACCAUAUCACAUCACAACAUGCCCUGCAAAAACAAGUUAGACGUCCUCUACUUUGUUGUUGCAAGUUUUACGUGGCUGCUACGGGCUGAGCAAGAACCGUUCUUACCUACGCAUCAAAACCACAACGAUUUUUCGUCAAGUAUGUGCUGUUUUAACCUUCAACAAGGACCGGGCGUAGCCACACUUGAUUCAACUAAAAUUGGAGAAACUGACACCCGCCAGCCACCUGUGUGCGAAGCACGUCGGUAGAACCAGUCUCGCAUAAGCGUACGCGUAAUGUCGGUCCGAGCCGCUUCAUCCAACAAUACCGCUGAAUCAAAGUAUGACAUGCUGGUAAGCAGUUGAUACGUCUCCAACGUAUCUAUAAUUUAUGAAGUAUUCAUGCUAUUAUAUUAUCCAUCUUGGAUGUUUAAUGGGCUUUACUAUGCACUUUUAUAUUAUUUUUGAGACUAACCUAUUAACCCAGAGCCCAGUGCCAGUUUCUGUUUUUUUCCUUGUUUCAGUGUUUCGCAGAAAAGGAAUAUCAAACGGAGUCCAAACAGAAUGAAACCUUCGGAAAAGUUAUUUUUGGAAUGGAAGCAAUCCAGGGGACUUGGAGUGCACGUCAGGGAAUCAACGAGGAGGGCAUGAGGCAGGGGGCGCGCCCACCCCCUGGGCGCGCCCUCCACCCUCGUGGGCCCCUCGUGGCUCUCCUGACGUAUUUCUUCCUCCUAUAUAUACCAAUAUACCCUAAAACCUUCGGGGAACAGAAGAGAUCGGGAGUUCUGCCGCCGCAAGCCUCUGUAGCCACCAAAAACCAAUCAGGACCCUGUUCCGGCACCCUGCCGGAAGGGGAAUCCCUCACCGGUGGCCAUCUUCAUCAUCCCGGCGCUCUCCAUGACGAGGAGGGAGUAGUUCACCCUCGGGGCUGAGGGUAUGUACCAGUAGCUAUGUGUUUGAUCUCUCUCUCUCUCUCGUGUUCUUGAGGUGAUACGAUCUUGAUGUAUCACGAGCUUUGCUAUUGUAGUUGGAUCUUAUGAUGUUUCUCCCCCUCUACUCUCUUGUAAUGGAUUGAGUUUUCCCUUUGAAUUUAUCUUAUCGGAUUGAGUCUUUAAUGAUUUGAGAACACUUGAUGUAUGUCUUGCGUGGGAUAACCAUGGUGACAAUGGGUUAUUCUAUUGAUUCACUUGAUGUAUGUUUUGGUGAUCAACUUGCGGGUUCCGCCCAUGAACCUAUGCAUAGGGGUUGGCACAUGUUUUCGUCUUGACUCUCCGGUAGAAACUUUGGGGCACUCUUUGAGGUUCUAUGUGUUGGUUGAAUAGAUGAAUCUGAGAUUGUGUGAUGCAUAUCGUAUAAUCAUACCCACGGAUACUUGAGGUGACAUUGGAGUAUCUAGGUGACAUUAGGGUUUUGGUUGAUGUGUGUCUUAAGGUGUUAUUUUACUACGAACUCUAGGGCUGUUUGUGACACUUAUAGGAAUAGCCCAAUGGAUUGAUCGGAAAGAAUAACUUUGAGGUGGUUUUGUACCCUGCCAUAAUCUCUUCGUUUGUUCUCCUCUAUUAGUGACUUUGGAGUGACUCUUUGUUGCAUGUUGAGGGAUAUUUAUAUGAUCCAAUUAUGUUAUUAUUGUUGAGAGAACUUGCACUAGUGAAAGUGUGAACCCUAGGCCUUGUUUCCUAGCAUUGCAAUACCGUUUGUGCUCACUUUUAUCAUUAGUUACCUUGCUGUUUUUAUAUUUGCAAAUUACAAAAACCUAUAUCUACCAUCCAUAUUGCACUUGUAUCACCAUCUCUUCGCCGAACUAGUGCACCUAUACAAUUUACCAUUGUAUUAGGUCUGUUGGGGACACAAGAGACUCUUUGUUAUUUGGUUGCAGGGUUGUUUGAGGGAGACCAUCUUCAACCUACGCCUCCCACGGAUUGAUAAACCUUAGGUCAUCCACUUGAGGGAAAUUUGCUACUGUCCUACAAACCUCUGCACUUGGAGGCCCAACAACGUCUACAAGAAGAAGGUUGUGUAGUAGACAUCAGCAGUAUGACUAUUAUCGCCCACAAGUCACUUGUGUUCUACUCGUGCAUAUAACAUCUACGCAUAGACCUAGCUCGGAUGCCACUGUUGGGGAACGCAGUAAUUUCAAAACAAUUCGUACGCACACGCAAGAUCAUGGUGAUGCAUAGCAACGAGGGGGAGAGUGUAGUCCAUGUACCCUCGUAGACCGAAAGCGGAAGCGUUAUGAAAAUGCGGUUGAUGUAGUCGUACGUCUUCACGAUCCAACCGAUCCUAGUACCGAAAGUACGGCACCUCCGCGAUCUGCACACGUUCGACUCGGUGACGUCCCACGAACUCUUGAUCCAGCUAAGUGUUGAGGGAGAGCUUCGUCAGCACGACGGCGUGAUGACGGUGAUGAUGAAGCUACCGGUGCAAGGCUUCGCCUAAGCACUCCAACGAUAUGACCGAGGUGGAUUAUGGUGGAGGGGGGCACUGCACACGGCUAAGAGAUCAAUGAUCAACUUGUGUGUUCUAGGGUGCCCUCCUACCCCCUAUAUAAAGGAGCGAGAGGGGAGGUCGGCCGGCCCUAGGGCGCGCUAAGGAGGGGAGGAGUCCUCCUCCUAGUAGGAGUAGGACUCCCCUUUUCCUAGUCCAACUAGGAGGGGGAAGGGGGAAGGAAGGAGAGGGAGAGAGGGAGGGAAAGAGGGGGCGCCGCCCCCCUCCUUGUCCAAUUCGGACUCCUCAAGGGGCGCGGCCAGCCGUAAGGGCCCCUCCCCUCUCUCUCUCACAAGGCCCAUGUUGGCCCAUUAGUUCCCCCGGGGGUUCCGAUAACCCCUCGGCACUCCGAUAAUUAUCCGGUGACCCCCGGAACUCAUCCGGAGUCAUCCAAUAUAUCAAUCUUUAUGUCUCGACCAUUUCGACACUCCUCGUCAUGUCCAUGAUCACAUCCGGGACUCUGAACUAUAUUCGGUACAUCAAAACACAUAAACUCAUAAUACCGAUCGUCACCGAACGUUAAGCGUGCGGACCCUACGGGUUCGAGAACUAUGUAGACAUGACCGAGACUCAUCUCCGGUCAAUAACCAAUAGCGGAACCUGGAUGUUCAUAUUGGCUAUUCUACGAAGAUCUUUAUCGGUCAAACCGCAUAACAACAUACGUUGUUCCCUUUGUCAUCGGUAUGUUACUUGCCUGAGAUUCGAUCGUCGGUAUCUCAAUACCUAGUUCAAUCUCGUUACCGGCAAGUCUCUUUACUCGUUCCAUAAUGCAUCAUCCCGCAACUAACUCAUUAGUCACAUUGCUUGCAAGGCUUAUAGUGAUGUACAUUACCGAGAGGGUCCAGAGAUACCUCUCCGACAAUCGGAGUGACAAAUCCUAAUCUUGAUCUAUGCCAACUCAACAAGUACCAUCGGAGACACCUAUAGAUCACCUUUAUAAUCACCCAGUUAUGUUGUGAUGUUUGGUAGCACAUAAAGUAUUCCUCCGGUAUUCGGGAGUUGCACAAUCUCAUAGUCAUAGGAACAUGUAUAAGUCAUGAAGAAAGCAAUAGCAACAUACUAAAUGAUCAAGUGCUAAGCUAACGGAAUGGGUCAAGUCAAUCACAUCAUUCUCUAAUUAUGUGAUCCCGUUAAUCAAAUGACAACUCAUGUCUAUGGCUAGGAAACUUAACCAUCUUUGAUUCAACGAGCUAGUCAAGUAGAGGCAUACUAGUGACACUCUGUUUGUCUAUGUAUUCACACAUGUACUAAGUUUCCGGUUAAUACAAUUCUAGCAUGAAUAAUAAACAUUUAUCAUGAUAUAAGGAAAUAUAAAUAACAACUUUAUUAUUGCCUCUAGGGCAUAUUUCCUUCACCCCUCUCGGCUUUUGGUAGAAUGGUGCUACUCUAUAGUGCAUGGGAUGGCUACCAUGGUUCUUCGUGUGCCCAACCUUGGUGCAUUAUGGCGUUGUUCUCGACUGUCCCUGCGCCUGCCGUCUUCUGCUUCAGAUGGCAUUGCGGGCUACCUUUGUUCCCAUGCAGGGUGUCGUUGGCGCAAUGUCAAAGGGCUUGAGCUUGUGUAGGUGGAGAUCGGUGGCCGUGCGACAUUGGUGGUGUUGGUGGUGCGGUGGCCUAGAUCGAUUCAUCUCUUCGUCUACACUUGUGCUUGUGGUGAGCGCCUACAUCAUUCGGACACCUCCCGUUGGACCCGGCAAGGACGCUCUCUGGGUUCCGAAAGGAGGGUGGUGAGGUCUCGCGCUCAUAUGCUUGCCAGAUUCGGCGGACAAUGCUACUAGUGAGUUGUGUUGGGAUUUCCUCGAAGAGGAGAGGAUGAUGCAGUAUAGUAGAGAUAAGUAUUUCCCUCAGUUAAGAACCAAGGUUAUCAAUCCAGUAGGAGAAACAUGCAACAUCUCGUUAGCAGUACCUACACACAAAAUAACAAAUACUUGCACCCAACGCGAACAAGGGGUUGUGAAUCCCUCAGUGGUUAAUUGCAAGGAUCAAAUCUCGUAGUUAUAGAUAGAUAAAUAAAACGCAAAGUAAAAUGAAGGAAAUAAAAUUACAGCAAGGUAUUUUUGGAUUUUAACAUAUGAUAAAAAUAGACCCGAGGGCCAUAGUUUUCACUAGAGGCUUCUCUCUUGAAAAUAGUAUACGAUGGGUAAACAAAUUACUAUUGGGCAAUUGAUAGAAAAGCGAAUAAUCAUGACGAUAUCCAAGGCAAUGAUCUUGUAUAUAGGCAUCACGUCCGAGACAAGUAGACCAACUCCUACCCGCAUCUACUACUAUUACUCCACACAUCGACCGCUAUCCAGCAUGCAUCUAGAGUAUUAAGUUCAUAAAGAACGUAGUAACACCUUAAGCAAGAUGACAUGAUAUAGACAAAGUAAACUCACUCAUGAAUAAACCCCAUUGUUUUAUCCUUAAUGGCAACAAUACAAAUACGUGUCUUGUCCCUUUCUGUCACUGGGAUAUAGAUCACCGCAAGAUUGAACCCAUCACAAAGCACCUCUCCCAUUGCAAGAAAAAUCAAUCUAGUUGGCCUAACCAAAUCAAUAUCGAAGAGAAAUACAAAGCUAUAAUAAUCAUGCAUAAAAGAGUUCAGAGAAGACUCAAAUAAUAUCCAUGGAUAAUUUGAUCACAAGCUCAAAAUUCAUCGGAUCCCAACAAACACACCGCUAAAAAUGAUUACAUCGAAUAGAUCUUCAAGAACAUCAAGCAGAACAUUGUAUUGAAGAUCAAAGAGAGGGAAGAAGCCAUCUAGGUACUAGCUAUGGACCCGUAGGUUUGUGGCAAACUACUCACACAUCAUCGGAAGGGCAGCAAGGUUGAUGUAGAGCCCCUCCGUAGUCGAUUCCCCCUCUGGUAGAGUACCAGAGAAGACCUCCAGAUGGGAUCUCUCGAGAACAGAAACUUGCGGCGGCGGAAAAAGUAUUUCGGGUGGCUCUCUCUUGUCAAGGGAAUAUUUGGGAAUUUAUAGAGACAUAAUUAGGUCAAGAGGUGCCACGAGGGGCCCACAAGCCUGGGGGCGCCCCAAGCCUUGGGGCACGCUUCCUGAGCUUGUUGUUCCCUCGUGGCUCGUCAGGUCUUCUCCUGAACCUUCUAGGGUCUUUUCUGGUUCAGAAAAAAUUAAUCCAAUUUUUUUUCUCCGUUUGGACUCUGUUUGAUAUUGAUUUCCUGAAAAGCCAACAACAAGCAAAAAAACAACAACUAGCACUAGACACUAGGUUAAUAGGUUAGUCGUAAAAAAUGAUAUAUAAUUGCAUAAUAAACAUCCAAGAUUGAUAUUAUAAUAGCAUGGAACAAUAAAAAAUUAUAGAUACGUUGGAGACAUACCAGACAACAUGUGACAGAUUGGUCUAGGAUACGGUGCUUCAGGCAAAAACUUGUGAUGACUUUGUCUGCAAUGAUGACGAAAACAACUCCAGGCGCCCCUUCCCUUCUUGAAGGAGCCAUUAUGAAUCUUCUAUAACUCGUGCAGUGGUCUGCCCUAGGCGAAAGCCUUAGAUCCAUCUCUGGAUCGGACAACAACAACGUCUGCGAUGUUGUUUCACCGUUGAGGGCAUAGUCUUGGAGCCAUGAAUCAGCUAUUGGUUGCAUGGUGUCUCGGUUGGAGUGCAGUUGGUUUGUUGGGAAGUCUCGUGGUGGCGAUGGAAGUGUUCUAUGGCGACGGUCAUUGCUUUGGCCAUCCUAGUGUUGUCAGUCGACCUAUCUCUUGGGUGGUCAUGGCGGCGGUGAGGUCUCUGAGUUUGGUGCCCUUCGAAGAUACCUAAGGUUUUGGUGCUUCGCAUAGCAUUUUGGUUCUCUGUAUUUUUUAUGGUGGUCGUGGCGCCGCCCAGAGGAGGUUUAAGGUUGUCUCGUGGAACAUUGCCCUUAAGCAUGGUUUGCGGCCCUCUUUGUCACGAUGUGACUAGGCGGAGGGAAGCCCUUUGGCAGUGGCUGCAACUCUCCUAGUUCCUUCUGCGGAGUGAUCACAGGGCAGCUGGCGACUUCUUCUCUAUGUUUUCUCUGUGGCAAUUCUCACUUUGACUGAUCCAACAAAAUCAGGCCCUGCUCUUCUCGCUCCAUGUAGUGGUGACGGGUGCUAAGUUUUUGGUGUUGGCUGCUUGUUGCAGCUUGCUUUUGGUUCUUCUUUUGUUAUUCUCUGUUCCUUCUUGAGUGUGUCGGGUGCUAUCUGUUGUACCCACUGUGUUGUAUCUCACUCUUAUUUAUAAUAAAAAUGGUUCAUGUAAAUGUAAGUUCGCCACAGCAUCGUAAAAAAAACAUUCGUAUUUCACUCAAUAAGUGGGGGUCUGAAAAAGCCAACCCACUGAAUUCCACCCACACGCAAUAGCGACACUUUGAGAGGGAGAUGGAGACCGUAGGUUAUCUAAAUUCAAACCGGCCAUUUUAUCCUUCCCAAAAGGCAGAGGAUCCGAUCCAAUCGCGACGUGGGCCGGCGGGAAAUUACUGGCAGCCGUGUUAUCGCCACCAGCGUUGAGCAUCAGAGGCAGGAGCUGCUGGCGCCGUGGCGUCACACUUCUGCAUGGCGACGCCCAUAUGCAUGCCGCCACGUUGUCUCUCGAGCAGUCAGCGUCAGCUCGUAUCUUUCUCCGAUUCGCGCUGCUCGUCGUGAAAGUUACGGACAAACAAACCCUACAAAAAUGUGCAUGCUUGCGUGCGUCGAUGUGAUCCUCAUCUUCUUUUCCCCGUGUAGAAAAACAUAGACAGCUUUGUUUGGCCAGUUGGCUCGGCUUUGCACAUAUGCGUGCAUGGGAAAUGGGGUAGUUCUGAUCUUCGUUGGGCAGGACAAAUAUACCGAACAACUUUUCAUUCGGUGCGUCUGUUUGUUUAAUCAGUUAUAGGUUAAUCUCAUUGGUAAUGGACAACGAUAAUUCGAUAUUGUUUUUAUUUUGUCUUAAAGCUAGCAUGCAUGCAAAAGCUUUAUGUAUUUUAUACAUACACUGUUCUAGUUCUGCUAAUGAUGUAUGGAUGCAACAGGUUGCCACAACCAGCUGGAUAUGUGAAUAUCUGUAGAGUACCUUAUAUGUUAGUGUUCUCUUUAGCUUCAAGAAAAAACAGGGGGCCGAGCCCUCACAGGAGAGCUUUUUUCUGCGAGAAGAAAAGAGAGCCUUGCUUAACCAAACAUUAAUUAAGGUGCAGGGGUUGGUGGCUUUGUUAGGUCCGAUAUAUCUUUGUACCUUUGUUAAGGUGUAUGAGCUGUUUUUCUUUGAAGAAUUAGCUUUUUCAAAGAAGGGUUUUGGACAAAAGCAAAUAAUGCCGGGUAGAUGAAAAAUAUAGCAGCAGACCUAAAAUAAAUAUAGAAGGGCUCCGAAAAUUACCGGGAGCCACCNNNNNNNNNNNNNNNNNNNNNNNNNNNNNNNNNNNNNNNNNNNNNNNNNNNNNNNNNNNNNNNNNNNNNNNNNNNNNNNNNNNNNNNNNNNNNNNNNNNNNNNNNNNNNNNNNNNNNNNNNNNNNNNNNNNNNNNNNNNNNNNNNNNNNNNNNNNNNNNNNNNNNNNNNNNNNNNNNNNNNNNNNNNNNNNNNNNNNNNNNNNNNNNNNNNNNNNNNNNNNNNNNNNNNNNNNNNNNNNNNNNNNNNNNNNNNNNNNNNNNNNNNNNNNNNNNNNNNNNNNNNNNNNNNNNNNNNNNNNNNNNNNNNNNNNNNNNNNNNNNNNNAUCGUAGGCCGGCGCGCUAAGGGAGGGAGACCCCCUCCCCAAGUCGGCCUCCCCUCCCCGCACACCUAUAUAUACAUGAGCGGGCGCCCCCUAGAGACACACAAGUCCCUUUGAUUCUGGGCGCCCUCUCACUAGUUUCUCUAGAUCCAAAUAAUAGAGAAGCCUGAAAGCACAAGUGCUCCCUGGAUGGUUUUGGUAAUUAAUGUUAACAUAUCUCUUGUUGGACUAAUGUUUUCAUCUAGUAUAUUUCAGACAAGUUCAACAGAUGGAGUGGCGUGGACAAAAGGAUGUGGAACCCCUUCAAGAUGCUAAGGACAAAGGAUUGGCUCAAGCUCAAAAGCUCAAGACUCUAAAUUUUACUUUUAUUGAUCCAAGAUCACAUUGAGUCCAUAGGAAAGCCAAUACUAUUAAAAGGGGAUGAGGUGUUGCUUAAUGGGUUACUUGCUCAAAAUGCUUAGUGAUAUGCUCCAAAAACCCUCAACCACUUUCUCAUACCCACAUAUGUCCCAAACCAAAAGUCAAACUCGGCCCCACCGAAACUUUCUAUCCGGCGCCACUGAGUUCAGCUGACAUAGCCACUGCUACAAACCCUAAUCAAUUCGGUCUCACCGAUGGGAUCCCGGUCUCACCGAGAUGGGCGUGCAAACUCACUGAUUCCUGUUGCAUUAAAUUCGGUCUUAUCGAGUUUUGUAAUCAGUCCCACCGAGUUUGCCUGACCAACUCUCUGGUUAGCUUGUUACCAAAAUCGGUCCCACCGAGUUUGUGUAAUCGGUCAAACCGAGAUGAGGUUUUACCCUAACCCUAGCACAUCGGUCCCACCGAGUUGAUCAUAUCGGUCCCACCGAAAUGCCUAACGUUCACAUUUUGAACUAAAUCGGUCCGACCGAGUUUCAUUAUUCGGUCCCACCGAGUUUGGUGAUUUGUGUGUAAUGGUUAGAUUUUGUAUGGAGGCUAUAUAUACCCCUCCACCCACUCUUCAUUCGUGAGGAGAGCCAUCAGAACAUGCCUACACUUCCAGCAUACAUUUUCUAAGAGAGAACCACCUACUCAUGUGUCGAGGUCAAGAUAUUCCAUUCCAACCACAUAAAUCUUGAUCUCUAGCCUUCUCCAACUUGCUUUCCACUCAAAUCAUCUUUCCACCAAAUCCAAAUCUGUGAGAGAGAGUUGAGUGUUGGGAAGACUAUCAUUUGAAGCACAAGAGCAAGGAGUUCAUCAUCAACACACCAUCUAUUACCUUUUGGAGAGUGGUGUCUUCUAGAUUGGUUAGGUGUCAUUUGGGAGCCUCCGUCAAGAUUGUGGAGUUGAACCAAGGAGUUUGUACGGGCAAGGAGACCGCCUACUUCGUGAAGAUCUACCCUAGUGAGGCAAGUCCUUCGUGGGCGAUGGCCAUGGUGGGAUAGACAAGGUUGCUUCUUCGUGGACCCUUCGUGGGUGAAGCCCUCCGUGGACUCGCGCAACCGUUACCCUUCUGGGUUGAAGUCUCCAUCAACGUGGAUGUACGAUAACACCACCUAUCGGAACCACGCCAAAAAUCUCCGUGUCUCCAAUUGCGUUUGCACACUCCAAUCCCAUCCCUUUACAUUCUUGCAAAUUGCAUGCUUUACUUUCCGCUGCUCAUAUACUCUUGUCAUGCUUGCUUGAUAUGCAUUGUGAAUGUUUAAAAUUGUGUUAAAACUCCACCUCAACUCAAAGAAAUUAAAAACUGCAACUUUUCUUGCUUAGAGUCUAUUCACCUCCCCUCUAGACACCUCUUCUCGAUCCUUCCAAAGCCCCGUGAGGUACUCUUCUCUUCCUUCUAGUUCUCCGGCAAUUCAAAGCUCUGGAAGGCGAUGUGCUAUCAGAUCGUCAAGCCUGUAUGCCUACAAUUCAUAGAGAUUGUGCUUUCGAUCUUUUGUUCGAGGGACCAUUCGUGGGACAGUUCAAGGGAUUCAAGAAUGAUCUACACAAAUUCUUCUUCCGCUGCAACUCGAAUUUGGUAAAAAUCUGAUCUAACCUUUGUAUGCAUCUUCAUAGUGAUUCUGCAAUCUUGACCAUAGGCCGUUUUUUGUUUUGUUUUCUUCCGUGUUCAAAACUGCUCUUUAACCAUGGCGAAUUUGAAAAAAUGUUCAACACGAAAAAGGUGCUCCUUUUCAAUAGCUUUCCAACAGUGUACCAUUUUCGUAAUUCCAAUGUAUAAUUGAGGAGUUAGAGCCAGAAGCUGCACGGAGAAAAGAGUGGGAUUCAGUCAGAAAAGCCUCAAAGUUCAAAUUCUAUAGAGAGUGCAUUUCGAACACUCUAUUUUCGUGACUAAGGCAACACAUAUGAUCGUAUCAUUUUUUAAAUGUUCUUGUAAAUAGAUAGGAAUUUGAGGCUUUCUACAUGAAAAUGUUUCGUGUAUUUAUAGCUUUCCAAUGUUUAUCAUUUGCCCCAUUCAGAAAAAGGUUUUAAACUUUUUUCCUUCAAAACGAAUUCCACCAUAUUCAAAACAACUAAAUUCAAAUCAUAAAGAAUUUUGGAAAUAGUUAUGUACCAAAAAUCCAACAGCAUAUCAUUUGCUACAUUCCGACAACCCUUUAAAAAUUAACCCAAAAACAUGAUUUCGCUCAAAUUUCUGCCAUUUUCAAAUUACUUUUAAACCUUUUGGCAUUGGCAACAACUUUGUAUAUGAAAAAAGAUCACAUUUGCAACAGCUUUCUAAUGCCAUAUCAUUUGUGUCAUUCCAACAAACAGUUGGAAAAGAGGUAAAAAAAAUAAUAUCUCAUUCGUUCUAUAAAAUAAUUCCAUCAUUUUUAAAAUUACUCUUAAACUGUAUGGUGUUUGAGCAACGUUUCUAAAUGAAAGAUGAGCGCAUCUACAAAAGACUGCCAACGCCAUAUCGUAUUCCUCAAUCCGACAAAGCUUUUGAAAAUUAAGUCAAAAUAUGAUUCAUAUUCUUUUAUAUGAGAAAAUGUCGUUUUCGAAACUGCUCUUAAUCUUUGAUGAUUUUAAGAAAUGUUCUACAUGGAUAAUGAUCGCUUUGUCCACAACUUACCAAUAGUAUAUUACAAGUACGCGAAAGUUCAAACUGUGCAGAGGAUGGAGACGACGGGUAUUUUGCAACCGGUUGCAGACUAUAUAAUUAUAUAUACCAUGACUGAGUUGUACAUAUGUAUGUGUACACACGAAUCUCCGCCUAAGUUAACAAGCUUCAACGUUUUAGUGCUUAAAUAUAUGUACGAACCAACAAAAUGUAUAAUUAGGAAACGUAUAUCGUUGAAAAUGCAAAGAAGAUGCCCGCAAAAAAAUUGCAAAGAAGAUAACUCGUGAACAAGGAGACAUCGUUGUCAGAACAGGUGCUGAGGACGAUGUCUUGUUUCCUCCGCUGAAGUGUACAUAUACAUCUAAGGAAGUACUAUAAGAUUAAAUUUGGAUGCACUUAAUUAACGACAGGAUAACACAGUUUGCUCUUAGCCACAUUAUGCCAAUUGUAUCUUAUAACCAGCCCGUGGAUAUUGAGAAAGACGUGGAGAUCACAAAGCCAGACAAGCAAAGCUCUAAAAACCAACCAAAUGUGGUUGAUUAAUUUUCUUGCGAUGAUUAUAAUUAAUUCCCAUGCUUAUCCGACUAGACUCGUCGCAUGCAACUGAGGUUAGCCCCCUUAGUAUCUCUUUACGUGCAAAGCAGGUGCACUGCCGAAUUCAUUAUAAGAUAGAAAAAACCAAAACAAAGUGGUCCGGUUUAUAUGGAAAACAAGACCCAAAAACCACACAACACACGAUUGAUCAAGGUACAAUCGUGCAAAAAUCCAAACCAUGGCAACGUCGGUCAACUCAUACUCUUCCGUCAACAUGCCCAUAACCCGAUAAUGUGUGGGCAAACUCUUCAAAGAUGCCUUCAAAAAGCAUCGGCGUCGGCAUCAUUCGGCCCCUUAAGUAUGUGUAUCCUCUUGCUAAGAACGAAAAAUCACAAGGAAGAAAGUUCAGUAUUCUUCCUCAAACUUUUUCAUGAAAUUAGCUAAAAACACAUUUCGUCGGAAACGAGCCGGGACUAAUCCGAGAAUUAUGGUUAUGUCAUAUCGUAUUACACUGCAGGCCUGAUCUGUACUGUUCACUGUUUUUCUGGAUGAUUAUCAGAUGAUGAGGGGAGCUUCGGUAGUACCCCGUUAAAAAACUUAUACAGAUCUGAAAGUAGCUGUUAAAAGGGUAUUUUGGUAUUUAAAGUGGUCAUCUCGCCUCCACGGUGAUAAGAGCAUCUACAGCCGGACGCCCCAAACCUGGCUCAAACACCUGUGCGACGGCCCGAUCACUGACCGGUCACAAAGAUGACCCGACACGCGUCUCAAAUGGGCCUCAAACGCCGGGCUGACUGGCACCCCCCAUAGCCAGCCCAAAUAUGGGGCAGAUAUGAGGGUGCUGUUGGGGAACGUAGUAAUUUCAAAAAAAUUCCUACGCACACACAGGAUCAUGGUGAUGCAGAGCAACGAGAGGGGAGAGUGUGUCCACGUACCCUCGUAGACCGAAAGCGGAAGUAUUAGCACAACGCGGUUGAUGUAGUCGUACGUCUUCACGAUCCGACCGAUCCGAGUACCGAACGUACGGCACCUCCGAGUUCAGCACACGUUCAGCUCGAUGACGUCCCUCGAACUCCGAUCCAGCCGACCUUUGAGGGAGAGUUCCGUCAGCACGACGACGUGGUGAUGGUGAUGCUACCGACGCAGGGCUUCGCCUAAGCACCGCUACGAUAUUAUCGAGGUGGAAUAUGGUGGAGGGGGGCACCGCACACGGCUAAGAGAUCAAGAGAUCAAUUGUUGUGUCUCCAAGGGGUGCCCCCCUCCCCGUAUAUAAAGGAGUGGAGGAGGGGGUGGGGGCCGGCCUCCCUAGGCAUGCCCCAUGAGGAGUCCUACUCUCUCCCCUUCCAAGUGGGAGUAGGAGAGGAGAGGGAGAGAGAGGGGGAAAGGAAAGGGGGGCGCCCCCCCUCCUUGUCCAAUUUGGACUGGGGGGAAGGGGGCGCGCGGCUGCCCUUGGCCACCCCUCCUCUUCUCCACUAGGGCCCAAUAGGCCCAUUAGUCUCCCCCGGGGGUUCCGGUAACCCCCCGGUACUCCGGUAUAUGUCCGAAACUUCCCGAAACCAUUCCGGUGUCCGAACAUAGUCGUCCAAUAUAUCGAUCUUUAUGUCUCGACCAUUUCGAGACUCCUCGUCAUGUCCGUGAUCAUAUCCGGGACUCCGAACAACCUUCGGUACAUCAAAACACAAAAGUCAUAAUACCGAUCGUCAUCUAACUUUAAGCGUGCGGACCUUACGGGUUCGAGAACUAUGUAGACAUGACCGAGACAUGUCUCCGGUCAAUAACCAAUAAUGGAACCUGGAUGCUCAUAUUGGCUCCUACAUAUUCUACGAAGAUCUUUAUCGGUCAAACCGCAUAACACCAUACGUUGUUCCCUUUGUCAUCGGUAUGUUACUUGCCCGAGAUUCGAUCGUCGGCAUCUUAGUACCUAGUUCAAUCUCGUUACCGGCAAGUCUCUUUACUCGUUCCGUAAUACAUCAUCUCGCAACUAACUCAUUAGUCUCAAUGCUUGCAAGGCUUAUAGUGAUGUGCAUUACCGAGAGGGCCCAGAGAUACCUCUCCGACAAUCGGAGUGACAAAUCCUAAUCUCAAAAUACGCCAACCCAACAAGUACCUUCGGAGACAACUGUAGAGCACCUUUAUAAUCAUCCAGUUACGUUGUGACGUUUGGUAGCAUACAAAGUGUUCCUCCGGUAAACGGGAGUUGCAUAAUCUCAUAGUCACAGGAACAUGUAUAAGUCAUGAAGAAAGCAAUAGCAACAUACUAAACGAUCAAGUUCUAAGCUAACGGAAUGGGUCAAGUCAAUCACAUUAUUCUCCUAAUACUGUGAUCCCGUUAAUAAAAUGACAACUCAUGUCUAUGGCUAGGAAACUUAACCAUCUUCGAUAACGAGCUAGUCACGUAGAGGCAUACUAGUGACACUAUGUUAGUCUAUGUAUUCACACAUGUAUUAUCUUUCCAGUUAAUACAAUUCUAGCGUGAAUAAUAAACAUUUAUCAUGAUAUGAGGAAAUAAAUAAUAACUUUAUUAUUGCCUCUAGGGCAUAUUUUCUUCAGUCUCCCACUUGCACUAGAGUCAAUAAUCUAGAUUACACAGUAAUGAUUCUAACACCCAUGGAGUUUUGGUGCUGAUCAUGUUUUGCUCGUGGAAGAGGCUUAGUCAACGGGUCUGCAACAUUCAGAUCCGUAUGUAUCUUGCAAAUCUCUAUGUCUCCCACCUGGACUUGGUCCCGGAUGGAAUUGAAGCGUCUCUUGAUGUGCUUGGUCCUCUUGUGAAAUCUGGAUUCCUUUGCCAAGGCAAUUGCACCAGUAUUGUCACAAAAGAUUUUCAUUGGACCCGAUGCACUAGGUAUGACACCUAGAUCGGAUAUGAACUCCUUCAUCCAGACUCCUUCAUUUGCUGCUUCCGAAGCAGCAUGUACUCCGCUUCACACGUAGAUCCCGCCACGACGCUUUGUUUAGAACUGCACCAACUGACAGCUCUACCGUUCAAUGUAAACACGUAUCCGGUUUGCGAUUUAGAAUCGUCCGGAUCAGUGUCAAAGCUUGCAUCGACGUAACCAUUUACGACUAGCUCUUUGUCACCUCCAUAAACGAGAAACAUAUCCUUAGUCCUUUUUGAGGUAUUUCAGGAUGUUCUUGACCGUUGUCUAGUGAUCCACUCCUGGAUUACUUUGGUACCUCCCUGCUAGGUUAAUAGCAACAAACACAUCAGGUCUGGUACACGGCAUUGCAUACAUGAUAGAGCCUAUGGCUUAAGCAUAGGGAACAUCUUUUAUUUUCUCUCUAUCUUCUGCAGUGGUCGGGCAUUGAGUCUGACUCAACUUCACACCUUGUAAUACUGGCAAGAACCCUUUCUUUUCUUGAUCCAUUUUGAACUUUUCCAAAACUUAGUCAAGGUAUGUGCUUUGUGAAAGUCCUAUCAAGCGUCUUGAUCUAUCUCUAUAGAUCUUGAUGCCUAAUAUGUAAGCAGCUUCACCGAGGUCUUUCAUUGAAAAACUUUUAUUCAAGUAUCCUUUUAUGCUAUCCAGAAAUUCUAUAUCAUUUCCAAUCAGUAAUAUGUCAUCCAAAUAUAAUAUCAGAAAUGCUACAGAGCUCCCACUCACUUUCUUGUAAAUACAGGCUUCUUCAAAAGUCUGUAUAAAACCAUAUGCUUUGAUCACACUAUCAAAACGUUUAAUCCAACUCCGAGAGGCUUGCACCAGUCCAUAAAUGGAUCGCUGGAGCUUGGACACUUUGUUAGCCCCCUUUGGAUCGACAAAACCUUCUGGUUGCAUCAUAUAGAACUCUUCUUCCAGAAAUCCAUUCAGGAAUGCAGUUUUGACAUCCAUUUGCCUAAUUUCAUAAUCAUAAAUUGCAGCAAUUGCUAACAUGAUUCGGACAGACUUAAGCAUCGCUACGGGUGAGAAAGUCUCAUCGUGGUCAAUCCCUUGAACUUGUCGAAAACCUUUCGCAACAAGUCGAGCUUUGUAGACAGUAACAUUACCGUCAGCGUUAGUCUUCUUCUUGAAAUCCAUUUAUUCUCAAUGGCUUGCCGAUCAUCGGGCAAGUUAACCAAAGUCCACACUUGUUCUCAUACAUUUAUCCCAUCUCAGAUUUCAUGGCCUCAAGCCAUUUUGCGGAAUCUGGGCUCACCAUCGCUUCUUCAUAGUUCAUAGGUUCACCUUGGUCCAGUAACAUGACCUCCAGAAUAGGAUUACCGUACCACUCUGGUGCGGAUCUUACUCUGGUUGACCUACGAGGUUCUGUAGUAAGUUGAUCUGAAGUUUCAUGAUCGAUAUCAUUAGCUUCCUCACUAAUUGGUGUAGGUGUCACAGGAACCGAUUUUUGUGAUGAACUACUUUCCAAUAAGGGAGCAGGUACAAUUAACUCAUCAAGUUCUAAUUUCCUCCCACUCACUUCUUUCGAGAGAUACUCCUUCUCUAGAAAGGAUCCAUUCUUGGCAACGAAUGUCUUGACUUCGGAUCUGUGAUAGAAGGUGUACCCAACAGUUUCCUUUGGGUAUCCUAUGAAGACACAUUUCUUUGAUUUGGGUUCGAGCUUAUCAGGUUGAAGCUUUUUCACAUAAGCAUCGCAGCCCCAAACUUUAAGAAACGACAACUUUGGUUUCUUUGCAAACCACAGUUCAUAAGGCGUCGUCUCAACGGAUUUCGAUGGUGCCCUAUUUAACGUGAAUGCAACCGUCUCUAAAGCAUAACCCCAAAACGAUAGCGGUAAAUCAGUAAGAGACAUCAUAGAUCGCACCAUAUCUAGUAAAGUACGAUUACGACGUUCGGACACACCAUUAUGCUGUGCUGUUCCGGGUGGCGUGAGUUGCGAAACUAUUCCGCAUUGUUUCAAAUGUAGACCAAACUCGUAACUCAAAUAUUCUCCUCCAUGAUCCGAUCGUAGAAACUUUAUUUUCUUGUUACGAUGAUUUUCCACUUCACUCUGAAAUUCUUUGAACUUUUCAAAUGUUUCAGACUUAUGUUUCAUUAAGUAGAUAUACCAAUAUCUGCUCAAAUCAUCUGUGAAGGUGAGAAAAUAACGAUACCCGCCGCGAGCCUCAACAUUCAUUGGACCACAUACAUCCGUAUGUAUGAUCUCCAACAAAUCAGUUGCUUGCUCCAUAGUUCCGGAGAACGGCGUUUUAGUCAUCUUGCCCAUAAGGCAUGGUUCGCAAGUACCAAGUGAUUCAUAAUCAAGUGAUUCCAAAAGUCCAUCAGUAUGGAGUUUCAUCAUGAGCUUUACACCAAUAUGACCCAAACGGCAGUGCCACAAAUAAGUUGCCCUAUCAUUAUCAACUCUGCAUCUUUUGGCUUCAACAUUAUGAAUAUGUGUAUCACUACUAUCGAGAUUCAACAAAAAUAGACCACUCUUCAAGGGUGCAUGACCAUAAAAGAUAUUACUCAUAUAAAUAGAACAACCAUUAUUCUCAGAUUUAAAUGAAUAUUCGUCUCGCAUCAAACAAGAUCCAGAUAUAAUGUUCAUGCUCAAUGCUGGCACCAAAUAACAAUUAUUCAGGUCUAAAACUAAUCCCGAAGGUAGAUGUAGAGGUAGCGUGCCGACUGCGAUCACAUCGACUUUGGAACCAUUUCCCACGCGCAUCGUCACCUCCUCCUUAGCCAGUCUUCGCUUAAUUCGUAGUCCCUGUUUCGAGUUGCAAAUAUUAGCAACAGAACCAGUAUCAAAUACGCAGGUGCUACUGCGAGCUCUGGUAAGGUACGCAUCAAUAACAUGUAUAUCACAUAUAUCUUUGUUCACCUUGCCAUCCUUCUUAUCCGCCAAAUACUUGGGGCAGUUCCGCUUCCAGUGACCAGUUUGCUUGUAGUAGAAGCACUCAGUCUCAGGCUUAGGUCCAGACUUGGGUUUCUUCUCUUGAGCAGCAACUUGUUUGCUGUUCUUCUUGAAGUUCCCCUUCUUCUUCCCUUUACCCUUUUUCUUGAAACUAGUGGUCUUAUUGACCAUCAACACUUGAUGCUCCUUUUUGAUUUCUACCUCCGCAGCCUUUAGCAUUGCGAAGAGCUCAGGAAUUGUCUUAUCCAUCCCUUGCAUAUUAUAGUUCAUCACGAAGCUCUUGUAGCUUGGUGGCAGUGACUGAAGAAUUCUGUCAAUGACACUAUCAUCCGGAAGAUUAACUCCCAGUUGAAUCAAGUGAUUGUUAUACCCAGACAUUUUGAGUAUAUGUUCACUGACAGAACUAUUCUCCUCCGUCUUAUAGCUGUAGAACUUAUGGAGACUUCAUAUCUCUCAAUCCGAGCAUUUGCUUGAAAUAUUAACUUCAACUCCUGGAACAUCUCAUAUGCUCCAUGACGUUCAAAACGUCGUUGAACUCCCGGUUCUAAGCCGUAAAGCAUGGCACACUGAACUAUUGAGUAGUCAUCAGCUUUGCUCUGCCAGACGUUCUUAACGUCGUCAGUUGCAUCUGCAGCAGGCCUGGCACCCAGCGGUGCUUCUAGGACGUAAUUCUUCUGUGCAGCAAUGAGGAUAAUCCUCAAGUUAUGGACCCAGUCCGUGUAAUUGCUACCAUCAUCUUUCAACUUUGAUUUCUCAAGGAACGCAUUAAAAUUCAACGGAACAACAGCACGGGCCAUCUAUCUACAAUCAACAUAGACAAGCAAAAUACUAUUAGGUACUAAGUUAAUAAUAAAUUUAAGUUCAAUUAAUCAUAUUAGUUAAGAACUCCCACUUAGAUAGACAUCCCUCUAAUCAUCUAAGUGAUCACGUGAUCCAAAUCAACUAAACCAUGUCCGAUCAUCACGUGAGAUGGAGUAGUUUUCAAUGGUGAACAUCACUAUGUUGAUCAUAUCUACUAUAUGAUUCACGCUCGACCUUUCGGUCUCAGUGUUCCAAGGCCAUAUCUGCAUAUGCUAGGCUCGUCUAAUUUAACCCGAGUAUUCUGCGUGUGCAAAACUGGCUUGCACCCGUUGUAGAUGAACGUAGAGCUUAUCACACCCGAUCAUCACGUGGUGUCUCGGCACGACGAACUUUGGCAACGGUGCAUACUCAGGGAGAACACUUUUAUCUUGAAAUUUAGUGAGAGAUCAUCUUAUAAUGCUACCAUCAAUCAAAGCAAAAUAAGAUGCAUAAAGGAUAAACAUCACAUGCAAUCAAUAUAAGUUAUAUGAUAUGGCCAUCAUCAUCUUGUGCUUGUGAUCUCCAUCUCCGAAGCACCGUCAUGAUCACCAUCGUCACCGGCGCGACACCUUGAUCUCCAUCGUAGCAUCGUUGUCGUCUCGCCAACCAUUGCUUCUACGACUAUCGCUACCGCUUAGUCGUAAAGUAAAGCAUUACAGGGUGAUUGCAUUGCAUACAAUAAAGCGACAACCAUAUGGCUCCUGCCAGUUGCCGAUAACUCGGUUACAAAACAUGAUCAUCUCAUACAAUAAAAUAUAGCAUCAUGCCUUGACCAUAUCACAUCACAACAUGCCCUGCAAAAAACAAGUUAGACGUCCUCUACUUUGUUGUUGCAAGUUUUACAUGGCUGCUACGGGCUGAGCAAGAACCGUUCUUACCUACGCAUCAAAACCACAACGAUAGUUCCUCAAGUUAGUGUUGUUUUAACCAUAUCAAGGACCGGGCGUAGCCACACUCGGUUCAACUAAAGUUGGAGAAACUGACACCCGCCGGCCACCUGUGUGCGAAGCAUGUCGGUAGAACCAGUCUCGCGUAAGCGUACGCGUAAUGUCGGUCCGGGCCGCUUCAUCCAGCAAUACCGCCGAACCAAAGUAUGACAUGAUGGUAAGCAGUAUGACUUGUAUCGCCCACAACUCACUUGUGUUCUACUCGUGCAUAUAACAUCUACGCAUAAAACCUGGCUCGGAUGCCGCUAUUGGGGAAUGUAGUAAUUUCAAAAAAAUUCCUACACACACACACACAGGAUCAUGGUGAUGCCAGUAACGAGAGGGGAGAGUGUGCCCACGUACCCUCGUAGACCAAAAGCGGAAGCGUUAGCACAAUGCGGUUGAUGUAGUCGUACGUCUUCACGAUCCGAGUACCGAACGUACGGCACCUCCGAGUUCAGCACACAUUCAGCUCGAUGACGUCCCUCGAACUCCGAUCCAGCCGAGCUUUGAGGGAGAGUUCCGUCAGCACGACGGCGUGGUGAUGGUGAUGAUGAUGCUACCAACGCAGGGCUUCGCCUAAGCACCGCUAUGAUAUUAUCGAGGUGGAAUAUGGUGGAGGGGGCACCGCACACGGCUAAGAGAUCAAGAGAUCAAUUGUUGUGUCUCCAAGGGGUGCCCCCCUCCCCGUAUAUAAAGGAGUGGAGGAGGGGGAGGGGGUUGGCCUCCCUAGGCGCGCCCCAUGAGGAGUCCUACUCCCACCGGGAGUAGGACUCCCCCCUUCCAAGUGGGAGUAGGAGAGGAGAGGGAAGGAGAGAGAGGGGGAAAGGAAAGGGGGGCGCCGCCCCCCUCCUUCUCUAAUUCGGAUUGGGGGGGGAGGGGGCGCGCGGCUGCCCUUGGCCGCCCCUCCUCUUCUCCACUAGGGCCCAAUAGGCCCAUUAUUCCCCCCGGUACUCCCGUAUAUGUGUGAAACUUCCCGAAACCAUUCCGGUGUCCGAACAUAGUCGUCUAAUAUACUGAUCUUUAUGUCUCGACCAUUUUGAGACUCCUCGUCAUGUCCGUGAUCAUAUCGGGGACUCCGAACAACCUUCGGUACAUCAAAACACAAAACUCAUAAUACCGAUCGUCAUCUAACUUUAAGCGUGCGGACCCUACGGGUUCGAGAACUAUGUAGACAUGACCGAGACACGUCUCCGGUCAAUAACCAAUAGUGGAACCUGGAUGCUCAUAUUGGCUCCUACAUAUUCUACGAAGAUCUUUAUCGGUCAAACCGCAUAACAACAUACGUUGUUCCCUUUGUCAUCAGUAUGUUACUUGCCCGAGAUUCGAUCGUCGGCAUCUCAAUACCUAGUUCAAUCUCGUUACCGGCAAGUCUCUUUACUCGUUCCGUAAUACAUCAUCUCGCAACUAAGUCAUUAGUCACAAUGCUUCCAAGCCUUAUAGUGAUGUGCAUUACCGAGAGGGCCCAGAGAUGCCUCUCCGACAAUCGGAGUGACAAAUCCUAAUCUCAAAAUACGCCAACCCAACAAGUACCUUCGGAGACACCUGUAGAGCACCUCUAUAAUCACCCAGUUACGUUGUGACGUUUGGUAGCACACAAAGUGUUCCUCCGGUAAACGGGAGUGGCAUAAUCUCAUAGUCAUAGGAACAUGUAUAAGUCAUGAAGAAAGCAAUAGCAACAUACUAAACGAUCAAGUGCUAAGCUAACGGAAUGGGUCAAGUCAAUCACAUUAUUCUCCUAAUAAUGUGAUCCCGUUAAUCAAAUGACAACUCAUGUCUAUGGCUAGGAAACUUAACCAUCUUCGAUUAAUGAGCUAGUCAAGUAGAGGCAUACUAGUGACACUACGUUUGUCUAUGUAUUAACACAUGUAUUAUGUUUCCGGUUAAUACAAUUCUAGCGUGAAUAAUAAACAUUUAUCAUGAUAUGGGGAAAUAAAUAAUAACUUUAUUAUUGCCUCUAGGGCAUAUUUCCUUCUAGCGCCCGGGCGCGUCCGGCAAGUCGGACCCGGCUCAGGCUCGCCCAUCCGACCACACAUAUAUUCCGCCCAAUCCGAUCCCCAGACCAAACCCUAACCACUUCACUCCACUCCCCUCCGCCACUCAAGCUCCCGUCCGGCCUUCUUCGGCAUGGCGGGCAGUGGAUCCGAGUCCUUCACCUUAAGAUUCCUUGACCCCAAGCUCAUCCCACGCGGCCCCGAGGAGGAGUUGGUCGUCUGGCUUGCGCUCUGCUGCUCCCGGGAGGAGGCCCGUGCAAGGCAGCACUCGGACUCCUUCGGUCGGUGUUGGGGAUAUUACCACUGGGCGUAAACCGGCCAGGAGAGGCCGGGUUAACUUCAUAAGUAGUUCAUCUGUAUCUGAAGCCCAUGAAGACAGACGGUGACGCUUCAUGAAGGCCCAGGGCCCAAAGCCGGUUUAAGGCAUGUAGACACAAACCGGCAUUGAGAUGUAAACUUGUGUUGUAAGAUAUGCGUAGCAGAGACCGAGCCGGACACGAUUAUGAGCCGGCCACGGAGUAUGUAAACCGACGGGCGUCAACCCAUGUAUAUAAGGGGACGACCCGGCGGCGGUUCAAGGACAACAGACAACAACUCGAGACUCAGGCAAAGCAUAUUCGCUCCCUGGUCAUCGAAACCCCGUCAAUUCCAUCACAACUAGACGUAGGCUUUUACCUUCAUCGUAAGGGCCCGCACUAGUAUAAAACUCUCUUGCGUCCCUUGUCCGCUUUAACCCCUUCAAGCUAACCCGUAGGGAUGGCUCCACGACUAAGUCCUUUCUCUAGGACAUCUGCCAUGACAAAACCACGACAGCUGGCGCCCACCGUGGGGCUAUCGCACGAUGGUUUCAAGUUCUUGGAGGGCAGCUUCGAAGGACUCAAGGGUUACGCUGUGGGCCGGAUGACCAAGAGUCGUCAUGGCAAGCUCUACAUCGACGAUGCAGGCUGGGGCCCCGAGGCCGGCUCAAUCGAGUACGGGUACCGGGUUCCCUUUGGUAGCAUACACGUUUUCAUUGGCAAGAUCGGCGAACUGGGCCCUGAGCCAGACAUCUGCACCGACCUCGUCGAAACGGCUUAGCGUGCGAGAUCUGCCCGGGUCAAGCCUGUCAUGAAGCGUGCCUUCGUGGGAGUUAUCCAUGGAGGGGAAUCUGAGGAUAUAUCGGAAUCUGGUGGUGAAACCAUCGUUUAUUCCGGCGACGAGUCAUCGACUGGAGAGACCGAGUCGUUAUAUCAGUUACAAGAUGGCCGGAUUGGGGGAUGUUUCGAUGGCGACAGUAUUCCAGACCCCUCUAAUCUGCCAAGCCGGGUGGCGAUCUUCAUGGCCGGCACGCAACCAGCGCUCCACUCUUCGACCGCAGCGGCGAUGAUUUCCGGAUCAGCAGCGCCGACAGCGGCUGGGGCAGGAGGCCCUGUGCGACCGCCGGCUCAGGUUCUAUCUGAUUUGUUUGAUAUGUUGGCAACGCUGAUGGCGGAGGUUAACCCGGCGGAUCAGGAUACACACAAUGCGGAAAUCGCGAAAGUGAAAGAUCAGAUCACCCAGGCAAAAGCCGACUUAGCAGCUGAGGAUACCAGGAUAGCCGCGGAGCGGGCCACUUUGGAUGCACAAGCUUACCGGAUUAUGCUGGAUCAGAGUGCGUCGAACGAAGUCCUGAAGAGGAGGCACCGAUCUCGCCUGCCGCCGGUUUAUGACGCUAGAAAUCUCUUUAACACCCCAGGAGCAGGAACCAGUAAUCCGCCGGUGGUAAACCGGGCAGAGGCACCCGAAGCAGGGGUGCUGGUUCAGCCACGUUUGGUGGAUCUGCCUCGUCAGAACAACGUUGUGGUACCUCAUGUCCCCACACCACCGGGUCAUUAUUCUAACCCAAUGGACAACAUUGUCGCUGCCGCUUCACGGCUGGCGGCCAUCCCAAUCGAAGGCGAUUCUCCAGCAGCGGUCGAGACGCGUGGGUUAAGGAGCUUCUUCAGACAGCCUUGAUUCAACAGGAGGCUUAUUCAUAUAGUCGCGAUCGGGUUCAUUCCACUCCCCGUCCAAGCCGGAGUUACAACAUGCAUAUGGAUGAACCGGUAGUAUCAAGCAAUGCGCGGAACCGUGAUCCGCCCCGUGGCCAUAACCCGGCGGGUGGUGCCGGUGAUGCUCAGGAGGUGGUGGACCGGGCUCGGGCACGCAGAGAGGCCGAGUUAGCGGCGCAGCACGAGGCCGGUCAGCUUACUCCAGUUCGUCCAACCACAUCGGUGGAACUAGGAGUUACCUCUAGUUCCUUGGGAGUGCCAUGUCUUUGUAACAUCCCAAAUUUUCAAUUUGGAAUGUUAUACAUUAGAUCAUCAUUGCAUAGCAUAUUUUAUUGCAUUUUGGAAAAUCCUCGAAAAUCCUAAGCUACUCAAGGACCCUCGGAGAGAGUUGGGGAUUUUUCCCGGUUUUCAUAUUUGAUUUUUAUCAAAUAAUAAAACGAGAGGAGAAAAUAUUUGAUUUUUCCCGGUUUUCAUAUUUGAUUUUUCCCGGUUUUAAUUAUUUUCUCUCCGAAAAAUAUUUCAUAUUAAAAUAAAUGAGAGGAGAAAAUAUGACUUCUCCAAAAUAACUAAAAUAUUGGAGGAAAAAUAUUAAAAUCAAAUAUUUGAUUUUAUUUGCAAUUUUAAUUGCAUUAGAAAAUUGCACGUUUUCAAAACUGCAUUUUUGGGCCAAACAAAUGUUCAUUUCGUUCUAAUUAUUUUAGUUAGACGGUGAAAAUUUGUUUUGGCAUUUUUGGAUUUUUAUUUAUUUUUCUAUGAUUUUUUUUAUGUUCGGCGAAAUUAUUAAAAAAAACGCCCGAGCGCGCCGACUGGGCCGAAGCCCAGCCGAUGGCCCAGCUGCCCCGCCCGAGCCGUCUCCCUCCUGGAGACCGCCGCCGCCCGAGUCCCGGUCGAGGACGACGCCGCCGCCGCCUUGCCCCUCCCCCACGGCACCCCCUCCCCUCCUUAAAUACCCCCGACCCCGCCGCCUCUCCACACCUCACCCCGCCCCGCCCCGCCGCCAGAAGCCGCCNNNNNNNNNNNNNNNNNNNNNNNNNNNNNNNNNNNNNNNNNNNNNNNNNNNNNNNNNNNNNNNNNNNNNNNNNNNNNNNNNNNNNNNNNNNNNNNNNNNNNNNNNNNNNNNNNNNNNNNNNNNNNNNNNNNNNNNNNNNNNNNNNNNNNNNNNNNNNNNNNNNNNNNNNNNNNNNNNNNNNNNNNNNNNNNNNNNNNNNNNNNNNNNNNNNNNNNNNNNNNNNNNNNNNNNNNNNNNNNNNNNNNNNNNNNNNNNNNNNNNNNNNNNNNNNNNNNNNCGUCCCGAGCCCCGCCGGAGUUGCACCGACGAGGUAGCCGCAGCCGCCGCCGACCGUCCGUUUUCUUUUCAAAAACUGCCUCGGUUUUUUCGAAACCCUAGGUUUAUUUUUUUAGAUCGGUUUUUUUGGUUUAAUUAAUUAGUGAACGUUCACCGAUCUGUUCGUUUUAACGAACGUGUUCGUCGGUUAGUCGCUGUUAACCAUAGAACGUGUUCGUCGGUUCGUCGGUUAGUCGGCUUUUUGCAAAACAGUAACCAUAGAGCCUUCUACCAGCCAUAUAUGCAUGUAGUAUAGCAUUAUUAUGUUCAUUACUCUCUAUGUGUUACAUUGCCAGCAUAUUCCAUGUGCUGACCCGUUUCGGGCUGCAACGUUUCAUGUUGCAGACUUUUCAGACGACGAGUAAGGUGCCUUAGGUCGUGGUCUUAUACUCAGUGAUGCCGUUGGAGUUGAUGGACUCACUAUUCUUCCAAGUCUUCCGCUGUUAUCGUAUUUAGAUGGCCUUAAGCCAUAUUUAUCAUACUUAUUCUCUUUUGAGAUACCCGUUGUAAUAAGUGUGUGAUUGCUACUCUGUUAUAAAUCCUCCAUUUGUACCGUGCGUGUCAGCAUUACUAAUCCAGGGAUGACACUGGUGCACAGCAGCACAGACUGUUUGAGGUAUGGUCGCUACAAAGGUGGUAUCAGAGCACACGCUGACUGUAGGACACGACCACUAAGCUUAAACCCUAGAACACUACUCCCUUCUCAUUUCUGACUCCUCUCCACUUUCUACUCUUUUAGGAAUGGCGGAUGCAAGGAACAAGUUCAUGCAACCGGAUGAAGAGACACCUUUUGGACGACACUUGAAGGAAGUCACUAAGUACCUGAACAUCGGAAUACCAAGCUUCACCGGAACCUACAACGCCACACUACUAGAAGAGGAGCGCUAGAAGAUUCAAGUUCAAGUUCCAGGAAGGACGUUCACGCCAGUCACUGAGCCUAUAGAGUUUUCCUUUGAUGCACCAACCUGGAGUUUAGGGAAGAGCAUGGCAGCCCACAUCUCUAUGGGACGUAUUGGAUAAGUCUACCGCAAGGAGCUUAAGGAUACUAUUUAUCAGAUUUGUGGACGCCGAGAUGAGCAAUGGGAGAUGAUCAGCACCAAGAAGGAUGGAUCAAUUGCAGCUUUCAUCUAGGAGCAAAACCAACACAUUCAUCGCCAGGAGAACCAGAUGUGCGCAGGCAUGAUAGAACUGAAGAAGGCAUUGACCAAGAUCAUGGAGUUGGAGGAAGAACUCAAGGCUACGCGCGAUGGAUAUGAGGAGGAGAUCGCCACGUUGUUGGAAAAGAAUGACGACCUGAUACAGAAGAUCGUUGUAUUCAUGGGAGAUCCAGCUCCAGGAGGAGAAGAUGACGAUUCUACUUGCCCGGAUAACUACAUCAUCAUCGACGACACCGACUCAGACCCCAGUGAAGAUGACUUUGUUGAUGAAGCUGGAGCAGAUAUCAUGGAGUCUUCGACCGAUCAAAAUUUCUAGUGGACCACCAUAUCAGUAGUAGUAUUCCCCCAUGUAAGUAGUAUAGUCCGAGCACUUUUGUAACGAUAGUUAGAUCGAUUGUAUGCCUUGAUUGAUUGAGUGAUAUUGAUUGUGUUUGUCUCAUGUGCAUAUGGGUAGUGUUUUCCUCUCUAGACCUCAUUCUAUUCUAAUUCUCAUCUUUUCUAAACCUAUCAGAUGCCUCCGAGACGCGACACCGGAUUUGUUUUCCCACCGGAGAUCACUCAGUUGAUUCAGCAGCAGAAUGCCCUGAUGCAAGUGUUAGUACAAAACCAAGGCAACAACAACAACAACCCACCACCACCACCUGUUGAUCACUUAGCCCGUUUCUUGAGGCUAAAUCCGCCGGUGUUUUCCAGCAGCACCGAGCCAAUUGUUGCAGAUGAUUGGCUCCGCAAAGUUGGAAGGGAGUUGACCACUGCAGGAUGCACAGAUGCGGAGAGAGUGCGUUUUGCCGCACAUCAGCUUGAUGGACCCGCAGCAUCAUGCUGGGAGAAUUACACAACCACACACCCUAUUGACACUGUCACAUGGGACCAAUUUCAGCAAGCUUUCCGUACUGCCCAUGUUUCAGCAGGAGCUAUGGCUAUGAAGAAGCGUGAGUUUCGCAACCUAUGCCAAGGAGGACGCACCGUAGGCCAGUAUGUGGAGGACUUUAGUAAGUUAGCACGUUAUGCUCUAGAUGACGUUGCUACAGAUGCAGCCAAGCAGGAGAAGUUUCUGGAAGGACUGAAUGAUGAGCUGAGCAUGCAGCUGAUGGUAGCAACCUUCAACAACUACCAGGAGUUGGUAGAUAGAGCACUCAUGAUUGAAGGGAAGCAGCAGCAGAUUGAAAACCGUAAGGGGAAGUAUGGACAAGGGAAGUACAAUUCUGGAGCUCGGCAGAAGCCACGUUUUACCCCGAAAUCGGGAGGACAGUUUUAGCAUACCCAUGGAGGAGGUAGUUCGCACAACCAUAGUGGACCCAAGAAUGGUAAUGGGAAUGGAGGAAGCAACGGGCAGAACCGUAAUAACCCAUCUACCCCAGCCAAGAGGGAUCUAAGGCACGUUACUUGUUUCAAGUGCCAGAAGACUGGACAUUAUGCAACUGAAUGCCCUGAAGCCCAGAAUGGAAAUGGCAAUGGAAGCUCUGGGAAGAAGCUGAACCCUUUCAACAAAGAACAUGUGAACCACGUUAGCGUGGAGGAGGUAGAAGCUCAGCCAGAUGCAGUAAUAGGUAAGUUUUUGGUUAAGUCAUUUACUACACUCGUUCUUUUUUAUACUGGUGCAUCGCAUUCAUACAUAUCAAGGGGAUUUGUGGAUAAGUAUAAACUGCCAACCCAAGCCCUUAGGUCACCCAUGUUAGUAACCUCGCCAGGAGCAGAGUAUAUGGCUAGUUUAUGGUGUGAUCGGUUACCAUUAAGGAUUGGUAACUACGUGUUUCCCUCGGACCUAAUAGUACUGGAAUCGCAAGGAUUGGAUGUGAUAUUAGGCAUGGAUUGGUUAUCAAAGUAUGGAGGGAACAUUGAGUGCGCCAGUAAGACGAUUUUGCUUACCACCCCAGAAGGAAGAAGGAUUAAGUAUGUAUCCCGGCAUAUGCCGAAGAGGACUCAGGUGAAUUCCUUAUCAGGAGUUGUACAGGAGGAAGUACCAAUGGUGAAGGAUUUCCCUGACGUAUUUCCAGAAGAGUUGCCAGGCAUGCCACCGGAUAGAGACAUUGAGUUUCUGAUUGAACUUUUGCCAGGCACAGGACCAAUAUCUAAGAGACCGUACAGGAUGCCCGCAAAAGAUUUGGAGGAAAUUAAGAAGCAGAUUAAGGAGUUACUGGAUAAAGGCUAUAUUCUCCCAAGUUCGUCACCUUGGGGAUCACCCGUACUUCUAGUGGAGAAGAAAGAUGGAUUGUUGAGGAUGGUUGUUGAUUAUCGAGGAUUGAACGAAGUGACCAUCAAGAAUAAGUACCCACUGCCGAUGAUCAAUGAUUUGUUUGACCGCUUACAGGGAGCUAAGGUAUUUUCCAAGACCGAUCUACGAUCAGGAUACCAUCAGUUAAAGAUUCGAGAGCAGGAUAUACCUAAGACGGCUUUUACCACCAGGUAUGGGCUAUAUGAGUAUACCGUUAUGUCAUUUGGUCUGACUAACGCACCUGCCUAUUUCAUGAACCUGAUGAACAAAGUGUUUAUGGAGUUUUUGGAUAAGUUCGUCGUGGUGUUCAUUGAUGAUAUUUUGGUCUACUCAAAGAAUGAAGAGGAGCAUAAGGAGCAUUUGCGUUUGGUACUUGAGAAGCUCAGAGAACAUCAGUUAUACGCCGAGUUCAGCAAAUGUGAGUUCUGUCUGAAGGAAGUUGGAUUCCUCGGACAUGUUAUAUCUGGAGAAGGAAUAGCAGUAGACCCCGCCAAAGUUGACACAGUAACAAGCUGGGAAUCACCCACGUCAGUUGGAGAGACCCGGAGUUUUCUUGGACUUGCAGGAUACUACCAGAGGUUCAUUGAGAAUUUCUCAAAGAUUGCUAAGCCCAUGACAGAGCUGUUAAAGAAGGACACCAAGUUCAAUUGGACUGAGGAUUGUGAAGCUAGUUUUCAGGAGUUGAAGAAACGUUGGUUACAUCACCAGUGUUGAUUCUGCCACAACAACGCAAGGAUUAUGAAGUUUAUUGCGACGCUUCUCGUCGAGGACUUGGAGCAGUGCUUAUGCAGGAAGGAAGAGUUGUUUCAUAUGCUUCACGGCAACUUAAACCCCAUGAGAAGAAUUAUGCCACGCAUGAUUUGGAGUUAGCAGCCGUAGUGCAUGCGUUGAAGACAUGGAGACAUUUUCUCAUCGGAAAUCACUGUGAGGUGUACACGGAUCACAAGAGUUUGAAGUACAUUUUCACGCAAAAGGAGUUGAAUCUCAGGCAAAGGAGAUGGUUGGAGCUCAUUAAGGAUUAUGAUAUGAGAUUACAUUAUCACCCAGGGAAGGCUAACGUAGUAGCUGAUGCGUUGAGCCGCAAGAGCCAUGUCAACACCCUCAUGACCGGAGAGUUACCGAAAUUAUUAGCCGAGGAUUUUCGCGAGCUAUGUUUGGAGAUAGUUCCAAGAGGCUAUUUAGCAACAUUGGAGAUUCAGUCUACCCUGAUGGAAAAGAUCAGAGAAGCUCAGAAGACAGACAAGGAGAUUGACGAGAUAAAGGAAAGAAUGAGCAAAGGAAAAGCCAAGGGAUUUCGUGAGGAUGAGCACGAUACCUUAUGGUUUGAGGACCGCGUUUACAUGCCCAAUGAUCCGGAGAUCAGGAAGUUGAUCUUGCAAGAGGCCCAUGAUUCACUGUAUUCGAUUCACCCAGGAAAUACCAAGAUGUAUUUGGAUUUGAAGGAUACUUUCUGGUGGACCGGAAUGGAGAAGGAUAUUGCGGAGUAUGUAGCAGUUUGUGAUGUAUGUCAGAGAGUCAAGGCAGAGCAUCAGAAGCCACCAGGAUUGCUACAGCCAUUGCCGAUACCCGAAUGGAAGUGGGAUAAACUAGGCAUGGAUUUUAUCACGGGAUUGCCCAGGACUCGUUCAUGCUAUGACUCAAUAUGGGUUGUAGUCGAUCGAUUGACGAAAGUAGCUCAUUUCAUCCCAGUGAAGACCACUUACACCAGUGCUAAGUUGGCAAGGAUAUACAUGACCAUAAUCAUAUGUUUGCAUGGAGUUUCGAGGACCAUUGUAUCAGAUAGAGGAACCCAGUUUACCUCGAAGUUUUGGAAUCAGUUACAUGAAACUUUGGGAACCAGGCUAGAAUUCAGUACAACUUUUCACCCACAGACAGAUGGACAGACCGAGAGAGUCAAUCAGAUUUUGGAAGAUAUGCUGAGAGCUUGUGCGCUAGAUUAUGGAUCUAGUUGGGACGACAAUUUGCCAUAUGCAGAGUUUUCUUACAACAACAGUUAUCAAACCAGUUUGAAGAUGGCCCCUUUCGAAGCUUUGUACGGAAGGAGGUGUAGGACACCAUUGUUAUGGGACGAAGUUGGAGACCGCCAGUUGUUUGGACCAGACUUGAUUAAGGAAUCAGAACAGAAAGUGAAGUUGAUUCGCGAUAGGCUCAAGGUAGCCCAGUCCAGGCAGAAGAGUUAUGCGGAUUCUAAACGUAAGGAGACAGUUCACGAAGUCGGAGACAGAGUUUAUCUUCGUGUAUCACCACUUCGAGGAGUGAAGCGCUUUGGAGUUAAAGGAAAGUUAGCGCCAUGUUUUGUAGGACCAUACCGAGUUUUGGAGCGUAUGGGAGAAGUUGCUUACAAGCUGGAAUUGCCUGAAGGAUUGUCAGGAGUUCAUGAUGUAUUUCACGUUUCCCAGUUGAAGAAGUGCCACGCAGAUAUGGCCGAUAUACCACUGAGGGAUACAGUGCCGUUGGAAGCGAUUCAGUUGGAAAGUGACUUGACCUAUGAGGAGAAACCAGUUAAGAUUCUUGAGUAUGCCAGCCGAGUCACCCGCAGCAAGGUUAUCAAGUUUUGCAAAGUUCAGUGGAGUAACCACACUGAAGAUGAAGCCACCUGGGAGCGAGAGGCAGAUCUACGGAAGAACCACUCUCACCUAUUUUCUAGCCAACCCGAAUCUCGAGGGCGAGAUUCAUCUUAAGGGGGUAGGUUUGUAACAUCCCAAAUUUUCAAUUUGGAAUGUUAUACAUUAGAUCAUCAUUGCAUAGCAUAUUUUAUUACAUUUUGGAAAAUCCUCGAAAAUCCUAAGCAACUCAAGGACCCUCGGAGAGAGUUGGGGAUUUUUCCCGGUUUUCAUAUUUGAUUUUUAUCAAAUAAUAAAAUGAGGAUUUUUGGUUUUAAUUAUUUUCUCUCCGAAAAAUAUUUCAUAUUAAAAUAAAUGAGAGGAGAAAAUAUGACUUCUCCAAAAUAACUGAAAUAUUGAAGGAAAAAUAUUAAAAUCAAAUAUUUGAUUUUAUUCGGAUUUUAUUUGCAAUUUUAAUUGCAUUAGAAAAUUGCAUGUUUUCAAAACUGCAUUUUUGGGCCAAAAAAUGUUCAUCUCGUUCUAAUUAUUUUAAUUAGACGGUGAAAAUUUGUUUUGGCAUUUUUGGAUUUUUAUUUAUUUUUCUAUGAUUUUUUUUAUGUUCGGCGAAAUUAUUUAAAAAAAAUCGCCCGAGCGCGCCGACUGGGCCGAAGCCCAGCCGAUGGCCCAGCUGCCCCGCCCGAGCCGUCUCCCUCCUGGAGACCGCCGCCGCCCGAGUCCUGGUCGGGGACGACGCCGCCGCCGCCUUGCCCCUCCCCCACGGCACCCCCUCCCCUCCUUAAAAACCCCGGACCCCGCCGCCUCUCCCCACCUCACCCCGACCNNNNNNNNNNNNNNNNNNNNNNNNNNNNNNNNNNNNNNNNNNNNNNNNNNNNNNNNNNNNNNNNNNNNNNNNNNNNNNNNNNNNNNNNNNNNNNNNNNNNNNNNNNNNNNNNNNNNNNNNNNNNNNNNNNNNNNNNNNNNNNNNNNNNNNNNNNNNNNNNNNNNNNNNNNNNNNNNNNNNNNNNNNNNNNNNNNNNNNNNNNNNNNNNNNNNNNNNNNNNNNNNNNNNNNNNNNNNNNNNNNNNNNNNNNNNNNNNNNNNNNNNNNNNNNNNNNNNNNNNNNNNNNNNNNNNNNNNNNNNNNNNNNNNNNNNNNNNNNNNNNNNNNNNNNNNNNNNNNNNNNNNNNNNNNNNNNNNNNNNNNNNNNNNNNNNNNNNNNNNNNNNNNNNNNNNNNNNNNNNNNNNNNCACCCCCCCGAGCCCCGCCGGAGCCCAUCCCGAGCCCCGCCGGAGUUGCCCCGACGAGGUAGCCACAGCCGCCGCCGACCGUCCGGUUUUCUUUCAAAAACUGCCUCGGUUUUUUUUUCGAAACCCUAGGUUUAUUUUUUUAGAUCGGUUUUUUUGGUUUAAUUAAUUAGUGAACGUUCACCGAUCUGUUCGUUUUAACGAACGUGUUCGUCGGUUAGUCGCUGUUAACGAACGUCUGUUCGUUUAACCGUUCGUCAGUUUUCUUUUUCGUCGGUUUUUCCGCGAUUAUUCCAGAUCGCGAUUUCUGAUCAGAUUUUCGUUCUGGUUUAUCUUUUCGCUCGUUUAUCGGAAUCAGGCGAUUCAAGCGCCUAGAGUUUCGUCUCGAAAUUCUCUUUCCGUUUAACCAACUCAAACAAGUUUUUGCUACUGUAAAAUUUGACCUAGAUCCAGAUUAGUAAACGAAGCUUGUUUCUUUCGCCGUUUGACUUUCGUUGCUUCGUUCGAUUUGUUUCUUUUUGCAAACCGGAGUUCUUAAGUUGAACUUUCUGGUUAGAUCUUUUAUUUGAGUUUUACCUGUGCAUUUGAUGAGUGCUUAUUGUAUGCUUGUUGUUUGCGAUAGAGUACCCGGAGAGCGCCGCUUGCUACUUCGAAUCUCUAAGUUUCACGGAUCAUCAGCAAGGCAAGUAACACUUUGAUCAUACCUUUUUUUACUACCCAAUUUUAUUGCAUUAGACAAAUCCUCAAACAUUGCAUGGUUAGGAUCUAAUUAAAUUGUGGGUAUUGGGAAGUAGUUGAGGUAGUACCUAUUACCUGUUUUGUUAUCAAACCCUUGGGAGUUACUUCUACGUUUGCUUAUAUUGCUAUGCUAUGCUAGUAGACGUGGAUUGGGUUUGAGUGUAUCCAUGACAGAUGUGAGAUUGUUAAUUAUGGUUAACCUUAAGGUGGCAACUAAAACUCACAUCUGGGUGGAUUGAGGUACCUGGGUAUUCCAGGAUUGCCUGUUUUUCUAAGGACCGCCACCCAGGCUCAAAGGGAUCAUGAGAUUAUUCUUGCUAGAAACUUUCGUGUGCAGCCACAAGCUAUUAUGGGCUCUAGCAUAGUUGAUUAAGUUGUGUGAGCUCUUGAAGAGGUAGACUAGCAGAUGUAGGGGUUGUAGGUGGUACUGUCUACCCGGAGUAGAGAGUUAACGCUUCUGAAAGACUGUGUCUCGUUCAUCCGUUUCUCAAACACCAUGAAGUGCGAGAAUCCCAACGGAUGAGAUCGAGUCUUGUGGGGAAAAGUGCACAAACCUCUGCAGAGUGUACAAUCUAAUCAUGGUUAGCCGUGUCCCCGGUUAUGGACAUCUUCAGUAUCUAGUACUUGGAUUAUCAUGUGAAACUCAUCACCAUGUUACUUUAAUUAAUUUUGUUGGGUUAAUGAUGAUACUUAAUUGGGAUUGAGAAUGUUGUCAACCAUUCUCAAUGUUUAACAACCACCAUGACAGUUAAAUAAAAUUUAUUCCUUUGCAGUAGGGAAAAAUUGGCCUUUUGCAAAACAGUAACCAUAGAGCCUUCUACCAGCCAUAUAUGCAUGUAGUAUAGCAUUAUUAUGUUCAUUACUCUCUAUGUGUUACAUUGCCAGCAUAUUCCAUGUGCUGACCCGUUUGGGCUGCAACGUUUCAUGUUGCAGACUUUUCGGACGACGAGUAAGGUGCCUUAGGUCGUGGUCUUAUACUCAGUGAUGCCGUUGGAGUUGAUGGACUCACUAUUCUUCCAAGUCUUCCGCUGUUAUCGUAUAUAGAUGGCCUUAAGCCAUAUUUAUCAUACUUAUUCUCUUUUGAGAUACCCGUUGUAAUAAGUGUGUGAUUGCUACUCUGUUAUAAAUCCUCCAUUUGUACUGUGCGUGUCAGCAUUACUGAUCCAGGGAUGACACUGGUGCACAGCAGCACAGACUGUUUGAGGUCUGGUCGCUACAGUCUUGUCCCGGCGUUGCGCAAUGUACGCCUGCCCAAAGAUUUCAAGGGCCUGCGCAAGGUGCCGAAUUACACCGCCGAUUUAUCCCCGGAAACAUGGGUCGAAAGCUAUGAGAUGGCCAUGGAGAUGCUGGACGUGGAUGAUGCGGCAUGUGCGAAGUAAUUCACCAUGAUGCUAGAAGGAACGACCCGCACUUGGCUAAAGAGCUUACCGGCUAAUUCUAUCAGGUCAUGGGCCGAGUUGAGAGCCCGGUUUAUUCAGAAUUUCAAGGAUACAUGCAAGAAGCCCAUGUCAAUUGUGGACCUAGCUGCCUGUGUCCAGGAGGAAGGAGAGUCAACAACCCAUUGGGUGCGCCGGGUUUCGGAGAUUUUCCAUUCAUCAGACCACAUCAACGCUGACACCGCAGUUUUAACAUUGGAAGGCAAUUGCCGGUUUGAACCAUUGAAGUUGAAGUUGGGACGGCUUAAACGUCAUUGCAAUGACAUGGGAACCCUCAUGGCUGCACUAGUGAAGUAUGCCGACUCUGAUAGUACCAAGGAUCCCGAGUCUGACGAUGAUAAGACAGGGAAGGGAAAGAAGAGCGGCAACGCCAAGGGGCAGCACCACAACCCGGCGGGUCAUGGAAACGGCGGCAAGCGUAAAGCGGACCAUGGUUUAGACUUUGUGGCUAACACUAAUACACAUGACAAGGAAAGAAGAGUUGAAGUUUUACAAGGACAAUGUUGAUCCGGUAGAUAUGACUUCGUUGAAGAAACCAACUAUGGAGCAUGAUCCGGCCCUGAAGUUUAAAUUGGCUGAUGAGGCUAAACUUGUUGACUUCGAACCUGGUGAUUCGUCCAAGCAGUUUAGCAUCAGCGCUAACUUGGAUCCGAAAUAGGAAAGCGUGCUCAUCGAGUUCAUCCGUGAGAAUCGGGACAUCUUUGCAUGGAAGCCUUCUGACAUGCGUGGUGUACCGAGAGAACUCGCUGAGCACACUCUCAAUGUUGAUCCUAAGUAUAAACCGGUCAAGCAGUUUCUCCGCCGGUUCAAUGAAGGAAGACGCAAACUAUUGGGGAAGAAGUAGCCAGGCUCUUGGCGGCUGGAUUUAUCGUUGAAGUAUUCCAUCCUGAGUGGUUGGUUAAUCCGGUGCUGGUCCUCAAGAAGAAUGGCACUUGGCGUAUGUGUGUGGACUACACAGAUCUCAACAAAGCUUGUCCAGCAGAUCCUUUUGCCCUCCCCCGUAUUGAUCAAAUUAUUGAUGCUACGGCGGGUUGUGAGUGUUUAAGUUUUUUGGAUGCAUAUUCUGGUUAUCAUCAGAUCAAAAUGGCAGUUAAGGACCAGGAGAAGACAGCCUUCAUAACUCCCUUUGGAGCCUUCUGCUAUGUGUCCAUGCCCUUUGGGCUUAAGAGUGCACAGGCAACUUAUCAACGGUGUGUACAGAAUUGUCUUCAUAAACAAAUCAGCCGCAAUGUUCAUGCCUAUGUGGAUGAUAUUGUGGUAAAAUCAAGGAAGAAGGAGACAUUGAUUGAUGACUUGAAGGAAACCUUUGAUAACCUGCGGGUUUAUAAAAUGAUGCUUAAUCCGGCCAAAUGUGUCUUUGGUGUGCCUGCAGGGAAGCUCCUGGGCUUUUUGGUGUCUAACAGGGGCAUUGAAGCUAAUCCGGAGAAGAUCAAGGCCAUCACCUCCUUGGCUAAACCAAAGUGUAUCAAUGAUGUUCAACGCCUAGCAGGCCGGAUUGCCGCGUUGAGCCGGGUUGUCAGUCGCCUUAGUGAGAAGGCCAUCCCUUUGUAUCAGAUGCUGAAGAAAACAGAUAACUUCGUCUGGAGUGACGCCGCUAAUGAAGCAUUUGAGGACUUAAAGCGGCAGCUAGCUAAUCCGCCGAUUCUCGCUGCUUCGGUUGAUAAAGAACCGUUGCUGCUAUAUGUGGCAGCUAACGCUCGGGUUGUUAGUGUGGCUAUUGUGGUAGAGCGCAAAGAGGCAGGAAAGGAAUAUCCGGUUCAGCGGUCAGUUUACUAUAUCAGUGAGGUACUUAUUGAGUUCAAGCAGAGGUACCCACAUUGGAAAAAAUUGGUGUAUGGGGUUUUCAUGGCAAGCCGGAAAUUGAAGCAGUAUUUUCAAGGUCAUCCCAUCACGGUGGUCAGCUCUGCUCCUUUAGGAGAUAUAAUCCAGAACAGGGAAGCAACCGGCCGGAUUGCUAAGUGGGCUAUUGAGCUCGGGCCUCACGGGUUGAAAUACAUGCCCCGAACGGCGAUCAAAUCUCAGGCACUUGUGGAUUUCAUCAAUGAUUGGACAGAGUUGCAAGCGCCAUAAGAGAAGCCGGAUCAUACUUAUUGGACUAUUCAUUUUGAUGGUUCCAAGCAAUCGGAGGGCUCGGGGGCUGGAGUCGUAUUAACUUCCCCACGAGGUGAGAAGUUUUGUGAUGUUCUCCAUUUAAUGUUCCCGUGCACUAACAAUGCAGCUGAAUAUGAGGCUUUACUCCAUGUCUUCGGAUGGCUAAGGAGAUGAACUUAAGCCGAGUUAAGUGCUUCGGUGACUCGGAUCUUGUGGCUCAACAAGUGUCCGACACUUGGGAUUCCAAGGACCCACUCAUGGCAGCAUAUCGUCGUGAGGUGGAUAUUGUUGCAGGUCACUUUAAAGGUUAUCAGGUUGAUCAUGUGGACCGGCGAAGGAAUGAAGCGGUGGACGCUUUAAGCUGCCUGCGUUCCCAACGUAAACAGGUUCCACCUAAUGUCUUCUUGGAUGUUUUGCAUAAUCCGUCCGUCAAGCUCCCUGGUGAAGAGGAUUUGGUUGUUCCUGAUCUGGAGGCCCAAUUGGUGGCGGCUCUUCAUGUUGUCCCGGAUUGGACGGUUCCAUAUUUGGCGUAUAUCAACCGGGGCGAGUUACCAGAAGAUGAAACUUUGGCCAGGCAGAUAACUCGGCGGUCCAAGUCCAUGACUAUUAUCAAUGGAGAGUUACAUCAUUGCAGUGUGACAGGGGCGUUUCAACGCUGUGUAUCUCCUGAGGAAGGUCGUGAAAUUUUGCGUGAGAUCCACGAAGGAGAUUGUGGACACAACGCCGGUUCAAAAUCUUUGGUGGCCAAGGUGUUUCGUCAUGGUUUCUAUUGGUUGACAGCUCAUGCUAAUGCCGAGGACUUGGUUAAAAGAUGUGAUGGCUGUCAGAAAUUCUCACGGCGUGCUCAUGUACUAGCUCAAGAAUUGAGGAUGAUUCCAAUCACCUGGCCGUUUGCAACUUGGGGGCUGGAUAUGGUUGGGCCUUUCAAGAGGUCCAAGGACAAGAAGACCCACCUUUUGGUGGCGGUUGAUAAGUUCACGAAGUGGGUGGAGGCAGAGCCAGUUAGUAAGUGUGACGCAACCACGACUGUUCAAUUCAUCAAAAAGGUGAUCUUCCGGUUCGGCUUUCCACACAGCAUUAUAACAGACAAUGGUACCAAUCUGUCAAAAGGUGCCAUGAAGGAGUUCUGUCAACGUGAGCACAUCCGGCUUGACGUGUCAUCAGUGGCUCACCCACAGUCUAAUGGUCAAGCGGAGAGGGCCAAUCAAGAGAUCUUGAGAGGCAUCAAACCCCGGCUUAUGGUUCCUUUGCAACGGACGCCGGGUUGUUGGGUUGAGGAGUUACCUUCAGUGUUAUGGAGCAUCAAUACCACACCCAACAGAUCGAUAGGCUACACGCCGUUCUUCAUGGUUUAUGGAGCGGAAGCGGUUCUUCCUAGUGACAUCUGUCAUGACUUGCCUCGUGUAGCGGCAUAUGUUGAAGCGGAUAACGAGAAGGCACGACAGGAAGCUCUUGACCUGUUAGAUGAGGAGCGUGACAUGGCGACAGCCCGUUCGGCGAUUUAUCAGCAAGAUCUGCGUCAUUAUCAUAGCCGCCGGGUUAGAACCAGAACCUUUCAAGAAGGAGAUUUGGUGCUUCGACUCAUCCAGGAUCAGACGGAUAUGCACAAGCUAUCCCCCCUUGGGAAGGACCUUUUGUGGUCAGCAAGGAUUUGCACAAUGGGUCGUACUACCUAAUCGAUGUUCAAGAGCACAAAGACUCACGUAAAUCGGAGGAGGAGACCAAUCGGCCAUGGAAUAUUGCUCAUCUUCGGCCCUACUAUACUUGAGCUACAGGUUCUGCUUAUGUACAUAUUAUGACAUUGUAUAUAUUAUGAUCAAUAUAAUAAACCGGAACCUCAGCUAAAGCGGGGUAUCUAUUGUUUUCUUGCAUCACGUGUGGUUACAUGGAGCUUACAAAGCGGCGUCCGGAUUACCCCUUGAUUUAGCUUCUUAAAGCUUGAUAUCGGAUCACUUGGGGGCUUGGUCGUAUCCGAACCAUAGCUACACCUCUUGAUCGGCGCAAUGCCACAGCAUCACUUGGAGGCUUGGUCGUAUCCGAACCAUAGCCACGCCUCUUGAUCGGCGUAAUGCCACAGCAUCACCUGGGGGCUUGGUCGUAUCCGAACCAUAGCCACGCCUCUUGAUCGGCGUAAUGCCACAGCAUCACUUGGGGGCUUGAUCGUAUCUGAACCAUAGCCACGCCUCUUGAUCGGCAUAAUGCCACAGCAUCACUUGGGAGCUUGGUCGAACCCGAACCAUAGCUACGCCUCUUGAUCGGCGAAAAGCCACAGCAUCACUUGGGGGCUUGGUCGAGCCCGAACCAUAGCAACGCCUCUUGAUCGGCGUAAUUCCACAGCAUCACUUGGGGGUUUGGUCGAACCCGAACCAUAGCAACACCUCUUGAUCAAAUUUGGGGCCUGGCAGCCCGUGAAAAGCCUCGCACUACUAGGAAAAGGCCUGCUAGUGGCGCACCUGUUUUGCCUACUAAUGGCGCACUACAGGUCCGCCACUAGCAUCACGCCAUUAGAUUUUUUUACUAAUGGCGCACCACAGGUGCGCCAUUAGUAUGCCUCCCAGGGGGCCAUAUUUAACCAUGUGCUCUGGCCUACUAAUGGCGCACUUGUUGAUGAUGCGCCACCAGUGUGCAUUUUGCAGUGCGCCACUAAAGUGCCGGGUGGUGCGCCACUAGUAUGAAUAUUAGGGAUUUUUUUCUUUUCUGAUAUUUGCACAGGUUACAAAACAUAUUACUGCACAAAAUAUAGACAGCACAACAUAUAAAUAGCAGAGUUAUCGAAUACAAUAGAAGAUUAGUCUCCGAAUACAAUUCAUCAUAUUAGUCUCCGAAUUCAAAAGACCGAACAAAGUUAGAACAUUACAAGUCUCUAAACCGCGAGUAGCGAGUUUGUCUUCACAUUACAAGUCGAUAUCGAUCAUCUAAACUACCAUCACAUAGAAGAGAGUUGCGGUCAUCACGUUUAGCAUCAUCGCGAUGAAACUGGUCUUCAUCCGGUUCCUCCUCCGCUCCCUCCUCUCUCCCGCUAGAUAGCGCGCGUAUCUAGCUUCCGCCUCCGCCCUAGUGGUGUACCCUUUGUAACUGUUACCGCUGAAACGGUGAACCUGUCUCCGACACUCCUCCUAGUCGUCGUAGACUCCGGGAACCUUACCCUUGUACAUGACAUACGAUGGCAUCUCUAUGCACUAGGCAAACAAAACGUUAGUAGCAAUUCACAGACAAUACAUAAGCAAUAUAUAAGUAUGCAACAAAAGGACCGGAAGAGAAAAGCAACACAUUAAUAGCACGAUUCAUGGUCCUACUAAUAAAUAGCAUCGAUUACAUAUAAGUUGAACGACUGUCCAAACCAAAGAGACAUACAAGUUCAUUAAGUUUAAUAUUACAACAUGAGCCAUUCGACAUUUCAGAACUACAUAGCAUCACUACUUUCGACUCGACUCAGGGACCGGAGCAUGGAUGAAGCCGCCGUCUUUCGUGAUGGUCAUGAAAUCGCGGGCGUUGUCAGCCUGCAUUUGUAGCGUUGUUUCUAUCUCACUGUUGGACGGUUGAUGUCUGAGAUAGAACUGCCCCGAGGUACGAAGGACAUCUUGAUGGAUGAUUUUCGCAAACUCUGACUGGAUGCGAAAGAAUUCUUGUCUGAUGUCCGCGUCCUGGAUUGCCGACAAGCGUGCGGCCCAAUCUUUGAGAUUAUUUGGUAGCAGAAGGUGAUUAUGGUCCCGUACGAUCGCCCGCAUGUGAUGGAAGGCGUAGUAGGCAUCCUUCUGACCGCCAGGCGGCUGCUUGACGCAGGGGAACGUCGUAUUGUGGGUGUAGAUGUGCUUGCCGUACCUACGAACUGGCCUGCUGAAGGUGCCUCCAGAUCUGGCGUAGCCCGGGAGAACAUCAUCAAGAACUUUCUUGAUAUUUGUGUAGUCUUUCUUCGACUGACGGUCCGGGUCGAAAUACGUGGCCAUGGAAUAUUUCGGGCUUAAGAGGAUGAGUGUGCAAUGUGUGUCACUGCACAAAACACGGAAUGUUAGAAAAAAAAGAACGAUCGAAAUCUAAGAAAUCAUAUGUUACGGGGCGGUGAGGGGAUGACUUACUCGGGAAAGUAAGGCACGAGGAAGUUAUCCUUAUCUGGGUUUGCCAGAAUGACGCCUUCGAGGUAUGAACUCGUGACUUGCCGGUCCCCAGCGCUGCCCAAGAUCUUGGCACGCAUGUAGAAGGGGUCGACUAUCAUGAUGUCCGGGGUCUUGUCUCUAAUGAUCCGCAUCUCCAUACUCAGCGAAAAUAGCCGAACGAAGGUGUAGUGCAGUGGAUGAAGGUUAAACAUAGCAAAGAUGUCAUCAAACCGCAGGACGAUCGUACCCCCGAUGGCGCUAUCCACAAAGCCCUUGCCCUCUGGCACCUUGACCAUGAAAAUCGGGUAUGCCACAUCAUUCUCGGAGAGACGCCGCUUCUCCAAAGAAAGAACACUGUCAUGCAGACUACGCAUAGCACCGGUUGCAUCAUUGAGCAGAUUAGUCGGUAGCAUCGGCCUACCCGCCACAUGCACCCUCCUCGAGAUAUCCUUAGGUGAAGGUGGCCCGUCCUGAGCACGGAUCGUACUCGGUGCCGGCUGGCUCGCACCGCCCUUGUUUUUCUUUUGUUUCUGUCCCUUCUUCCUCAUCUGCUGUAAUGGGAUCGAGUUCUGCUUAGAGACCGCCUUCUUGAGUGUGUUGGGGCUGAUAAUAUUCCGCACCUCGGCUAUCUGAGGCUCGGUGAAGGCGGUAGCUGGAGGCGUCUCCUGAGAACUGAACGCCAGACGACGCCUGUUGCAAUUGGGUUUCUCCGCGGUACCAGCUAGAUCGCGGUCAUCUUUUUCAGGGUCUGGUUCUUGAGAAGGAGGCCCGAAGAAUUCGUCACCGUACCCAUGUUCAGAAAAGUACUUAUCGACGUUGGUAAAUGUACCAUCGUCGUUGUCGUCGUCGUCCGGAUCCUGUGCCAUAUGCAUGUCCGAAUCCUGUGCCAUAGGGAUGUCCGGCAUGUCCGGUAGCGUUGCGGCGGUCUUGCCAUGGCUUGGUGCCGGCACGACUGGCGGUGUUGUCUGUGGGGUGGUGUCCCCCGCCCCCAAACGAAUCUGGCUCUUCGGACAAAGCAGGGGCCAGCUUACGCAGGCGCUGAGGGUCAUCACAUCAUCUUCGUUGGCCCCAGCAGGUCAAAUUGGAGGUAACAACUCGUCGCAGCCUGGCAGCACCCGAACCAGUUCAACCCUAUACACGGUGGGUGGCAUCGGAUUACCGUGGAACACGAGGUUGCCCGGUUGAACGAUUCUGCCCUUGGCGACAUCGAUCAACUCGCCGACCACGAAGUGCAGUAGAGUGCAUGGUCGGCGGCGCCCUGCGAAAACAUGUAGGGCAUCAAGGAUGCCCAGUCAAAGGCAAGGAGAUGAAGUCAAUGGCAGAGAGGCUUAGUUACCGUGAUGGCAUCGAGCUCGGCUAAUGUCGAGGCAGCGCCAACGGCGGGCGUGCAACUGACGGAGGGGCCGCUUGUUGCCGAGGUGCCGGCCGGCAUACACCCGGGUGCAUUAAGGUCCAAUGCCCGUGCCGGCGCCGGAGACACCAAUACCGCCUCCGCCGGAGACACCAAUGGCGCCGCCUGCGCGUUGAGCGAGUUGCUGGCCGUGAAGCUGGGAACCGGGGGCGGCCCCUGUUGGCCGCCUGCAAUCGACGUCUGCAGCCCCUGAAUCAAGGUAGGCACAAUGGCGGUGAGCGUCGUUCCCAGUUGUUGUUGCACUUGCUCUUGGACAAUCUCCGGAAUCCGCACCACUUGUGCCUUGAGUUCUUGAACCUCGCGCGACUGGCUUUCCGAGCUGGUUUUUUUCUCCUUUCACCCACCAGCGUUAUAAUAUGACGACCAUUCUGUGGACAAGCCUUUGCCAGCCACACGACCAGCUGAUGACGGCUUACUGAGCUUAUCCUUGUUUUUCAUUAUGUUCAACGCCCUAUUUAGAGUGUUGUCCCAAGGGGAGCUCUGAGACGACCCCGCGCUACUGCUUUCAGUCUCCUGCGGAAGGAAUGUGAACCAUUUAGAAAUCUGGCUUCAUUAAUUAGAAUGCAACCAUAUGGAGCUAAUUACGCGGGGGUGUAUUCCUUACGAGAACACGCUCAAGCGCCUUGGUCUUCGGAUCCGUGGUAAGCUCCUUUGUUACCGUGUCCUCCUUGUACCGGGCCCUGACAUAGUUCCUGGUCUGCUUCUCACGGUAUUUCUCGAAGCGGGGCGGUAGGCCUUGCUCGACACGCUCUGCGUCCUCCUUGUCCCAUAUAGGUUCCGCCAGUCUGUAACCGCCGAGACCGAGUUUGUGGACCCCUAAGUUCAAGUCCCGCAUCUCUUUCCCCCACUGACUUGAUUCCUCGGAUGCGCCGCUCUCGCACUUGAUCUUGAACUCCUUGUAGUCAUCUUCGUUGAUCGAAGGAUUUUUCGCCUUGAUCUUCUCAUAACUAUCACCUUUGUUAAUCAUUCUCUUGACCGCGCUUCUCCAAGUAGACAGGGCCGUGCUCAUCUUCGUGAGGGCGGCACUGUUCACUUUAUUCCCUGAGAGGCGUGUGUUUGCAAAGUCAGCGGGGAACUUGUAUCGUUCGUGCAGCUUCGUGAAGAGGAGGUUGCGCAAAUUCCCUCGGUCCUUAUGCCUUAGGUUCUCGGUGUUGACCGAGACGGUGCUCCGGAGAAUGCACCCGAGCUAAACCGAGUACCCCUUGACUAAUUCUUUGGGUGCCAUUGGAUCCCUCUCGUAGUUCACUUCAGUAAAUUCCUCCUUGACGGUGCCGAGCACGUUCGGCCGCCGGUCCUUCCGUUGCCUCUUCGGUUGGCUGCCAUCUGUGCGUGCGCUGCCAUCAUCAGUGGUGGCAUCCUCGGCGGCACCAUCAGUGGUGUCAUCCCCGACGCCACUAGGGGUUGUGUAGUCAGGAUCGGUGUCUUCCGCGGCGUCCUCAUAGCGGUGAGGUUCUUCCUCCAUCUCCUGGGACAGCUCCCAGAAUGCCUUGCCGCCCGAACCGCCAGCCUCAUCGUUGUGGGCCAUGUUUCGCUCUAAAUAGGAAAAAGUUUGGUCAAAAAGUUGGUUAUUGUCAAGGAACAAGAUCUCUAAGUUGACCAAAUAACCUAAUUCUUGAGGAAUUCGCUGUUAGUGUGUUGUUGCUAAGGUCCAAGUCCCUUCCUAACCCCCUUCUUCUUGUCUCCUCUCACUAUCUCUCUCACACACAUGGCAAGCAAGGGUGUCUGAGUGUGUGAAAAAAUACUAAACUAAUCCAAGGGCUGAAAAUUGAUCAUCUGUUUCAGAUUGCAGUUUUCUUUCUUGGGGCUUUGGUGUGCGGUACAAAACUGAAUUUUGGAAAUCUACAGAAUGAACAAGCUAAGGGCUAAGAUUUCAUCAUUUAGGUUUUUAUCGACACCGAGGCACCCUAAAAGCCAAGCUUUUAUCAUUUAGGGUUUGACUCUUGGCUAACCAACCUCACCUCCUCCUCCUCCUCCUCCUCUUCUUCUUCGUCGUCUUCCUCUGAUUAAAUGGAUUUCCAGGAUGUAGGUGGAUUCAUGUGUAUAUAUACACCUACACUAACUACUAGCCAUCCAGUGUGUUUAGACUAGAUCGGGGGGUAUUGUCUUCUGUUGUGUCAUUUUCAUAGUUUCUUUCUGAUCACAGUGGAUGAGGAGCUUGAUUGGUUACUUUAAUGGCGGUCAGGGCCAGGUAGGGGAGGUGGGCAGGCAGGACAGGAGCGAGGUCAACAGCUCAUGGAUGGCUCGCACGUGGCCGCCCCCAGCUCCAAUCGUGAGAUUACGCAGGCAAAUAAACAAAGAGGAUCCUACUUAAUUAAGUACUAAGAUACCCCGGCCCAUGCAUUAGUCGCAAGUACCCCAUAUGUCCUAUUUUUAGCAAAGUCAUGCUAAAUUUCACGAAAAAUUUCAGCAUGACCUUUGCUGAAAAUAGGAGAUAUGGAGUACCCGAAUUUGCCGGAACGGAAGUUAAUUGACAUUCCGGCAAACUCAAGGGCCUCUCGGGGUACCUGCAAAAUCAUUAUCCAAUGAAGGAAUUGCGCCGCACACUGCUGCCUCACACUGCUGCCAAAAUCAUUAUCGACAUGCUGGUACUGUGUUUCUCAAAAAACAUCUUGCCAGCUAGUAGACCAUCAUUUGCCAGGCCAAACAGAAAAGCACAGUAGACUGCGGAAUCAAGAUGAUAUUUCAGAACAAGUAUAAAUGCUCACUGCACAUCAACAUCGCAAGUCAUAACAGAUAAACAACAACACUAAACUUCCCCAAGUUGCAGGCUAUACUGAUCUUCAUGGUGUAGAUAAAGUAAAAAAUGUAUAUCUAGCUAAACAACAUACAAACAUAAGAAGAAGAAAAUACUGAAUAGCGGUCACAUGCUUCAGCAAGUCCAUGAGUACAAGGCAAUUAAUAACAUUCGAUACUACAAAAUUGACAAAGCAGCACACCAUCUAUGCUAUCACAUUACAAUUGGGAAAAGGAGUGACAGAACAUACCCUCAAUGGCUUCCUUGGGAGUCUUGAAACUAAGGCCAGCACUCUUCCAGAACCUGUUGCCCUCCUUGCCAGGCUUAUUAUUCCCCUUUGUGGUCUUCUUUGAGCUAUAAUUGCAAAUCAAGUCAUGAUCACCAAUUCAGGACACACAUUUUACCAUCUUACUUAUAUAAUGAAAAAACAACAGUUCCUCGUACCAGAGGAACACCUUAGGCUGCUUCAGGAAAGCCUUCUCAGACUGCAAAAACCAGCAAAACUGUUUAGGACAUGUUGUUUGAUAAAGCCUGAGAAUACCUAAGCAUCCCAACCAUUUUGUCUAAUAUGGCUACCUUGUGACCAAGAAAUAUAGAGCCAGUAGCGUGGCAAGCUUAUCCAGGAACUUUAGCUUAUUGACCCAUGGGCAAUGGGGAUUAGAGGGUGACAGUGAGUAGAACAAUAGCCUAACUUUCACAAGUUAAUAUAAAAAAUCCAUCUAUGACAGAAACUGAAAGUCCACCUGCAGAACAUUGAAAUUAGCAAAUGCAAGGAGCAGUGAUCAAACGUAUAUAUGCCACUACACUGCUAUUUUGGAAUGUCCAGUCUCAGUCACUUGAAGUAACAAGAACAAGAACAAGAAGAGCAAGCAGGAGCAUAUUAUGGGGCGGCUACUACUCGAACUUCUUGAUGAGUGAGAGGUCAUUGAGCAUCUUGUCGACAACAACAAUGUCGCCAACUUGCUGACAGGCAACUAGAUGUCAUCACUUGAGGAAAAAAAAGUAAGCCACCAAGCAACAUUGAAACGGUAAGCACAGUUAGCAAGGAGAGCAGAGCACAAAGGCAGCAGCUCCCAGGCUCCCAGCUGAUUUUACUCCAAGAGAUAACAUACUAGUUAGCAACCAUAGCCACUAAUUAAGCAACAGCGUCAGAAUGCUACCAUAACAACAGUUAAUAAAUAGAUCAGCACACAGGAGGCAGCAAAGGUAAUAAGUAAUAACUCAUGGCUGAUUCGAUUGCAAGUGACCACAACAACAGUUCAGUUACUAGUUCAUCAAUGGUUGAGGAAGAAUAUAGUCACCUCGCCAGCGCAAUCCACACUCCAGCAGCUAGGGAUGGUCGCACACUCACAGAUCCACCACCUGCGCAAGAAAACCACGGGAUAUACCAUCAGAAAUAGAAGUGAAAAUCCGAAGACACAAAUAUGUAUGUCACCAUAGAUCAAACAAGCAGCAGUAGCGACACGAGGGGCGGCGGCGGCGAGCUCCUACACCUAACCCUAGGUCGCCGCCCCAUGGGGGCAUGGGGAUGAGCGGGGAGAGAGGGAGGGAGGGAGAGAGACUAACCAGAGGCCGCGCGGGGAGGCUCGCGCCGCCGUCAAGGAGCGCGUCCGACGAGGCUAGCCGCCGUCGAGGGGCAGCUCCGACGAGGCAGCCGCCACCGGGAGCAAGAGAGAGAUUUGGGGGCGGCGGCGGUCUCGUGGGGGUCGGGGGCGGUGGGGGUCGGCGUCGGGGGCAGUGGGNNNNNNNNNNNNNNNNNNNNNNNNNNNNNNNNNNNNNNNNNNNNNNNNNNNNNNNNNNNNNNNNNNNNNNNNNNNNNNNNNNNNNNNNNNNNNNNNNNNNNNNNNNNNNNNNNNNNNNNNNNNNNNNNNNNNNNNNNNNNNNNNNNNNNNNNNNNNNNNNNNNNNNNNNNNNNNNNNNNNNNNNNNNNNNNNNNNNNNNNNNNNNNNNNNNNNNNNNNNNNNNNNNNNNNNNNNNNNNNNNNNNNNNNNNNNNNNNNNNNNNNNNNNNNNNNNNNNNNNNNNNNNNNNNNNNNNNNNNNNNNNNNNNNNNNNNNNNNNNNNNNNNNNNNNNNNNNNNNNNNNNNNNNNNNNNNNNNNNNNNNNNNNNNNNNNNNNNNNNNNNNNNNNNNNNNNNNNNNNNNNNNNNNNNNNNNNNNNNNNNNNNNNNNNNNNNNNNNNNNNNNNNNNNNNNNNNNNNNNNNNNNNNNNNNNNNNUGGAGCGGGCCGGGGAGGGUGCGGGGGUCGGCGACAACGGUGGAGCGGGGAGGGUGCGGUGGGUGCUCGGCGGCGGUGGAGCGGGGGAGGGUGGGGGGUGCUCGGCCGCGAGGGGGAUCUGGCGAGGGGGGAUAGCGUUCGAGAUGGAGGGGGAUCGAGAUCGAGUGUCCUCAUGAAUAUUCAAUAUUUUUUCAUAUUGAAUAUGAAAAAAUAUCAUCAACUUUGAAAAAAUAUUCAUGAAUUCAAAAAGUGCCCAUGAAAUUUAAAAAUAUUCAUGAGUUCAAAAAAUAUUAACAAAUUCAAUACUUUUUGUGAGUUAGAAAUUCAAUACCAGAAUAAACAUAAAUAAAUAUUCAUGAGGACACUAGAACAGAAGAAAUAUCAUUUCAAUAUGUCGAAAUACAAUCGAGAAAUGAGGGCUACAAUUUAAAUACAAUCGAUCUAGAUAGCUAUCUGUUCACAAUCUUCUUGCCCUUAUUUUUCGUAAAUGGAGUUCUUCUCUUGAACGGACGUCCUUUAGGUAGGGUGGUCCUGCUUCUUCUUGUGGUGUAUGCUGGUACUUCAUCGUCGUCGUCAUGUUCCAUCUUCGGGUCGCCGUACUUGUCGAAGUCUUGCUCAUUGGCGACUCCAUCCAUUCCGAUGAUCUUCCUUUUGCCUCUCCUCAUGACAACAUGACUGGGCUUUGACGGGUCGGUAAUGAAGAAGCACUGGUCCACUUGGGAAGCCAGUACCCAUGGCUCAUUUUUUGCGGUGAAGUUUGCGCCCGCGGUCUUGGAUUUGGCUUCGGGUAUAACCAUGGUGGUGAAAUACCGGUCUUCUUUUAGGACGCUCUUGGCCCAUCUGACACGGAACAUCGGGACCUUCUCUCCAGCGUAGCUCAGCUCCCAGAUCUCCUCGAUCCUUCCGUAGUAUCUGUCCUUGUCGUUACCGGUGUAGGAUUCCAUCGUUACCCCGGAGUUCUGAUAACCAUCGCUCUUCCUGUCCUUUCCCUCGGUGUAGAAUGUGUAGCCGUUGAUAUCGUAUGCCUCAUACGUCAUCAGGUUGUGCUCGGCACCCUGUGACAAGGCGAAUAUGAGUUGUUCUUCCGUGGAAGAAUCCUCAUGUAAAGGGUACGACAAAAGCUUCUGCUUGAACCAACGCGUGAAACAUGAGUUGUGCUCUUUGAUUAUAUCUCCGUCCGUCCUCUGUUGGCCUUGGUCAUUGUACGUCUUCUCAAUAAAGGUUUUGUGCUCUACCACCCAAGGAUCGACCACGUCUAUGUGUUGUAGCGCGACUAGGUUUGCUCUUUCAAAGUCGGCGAGUCAACCCUCGAAGUCGACAUGCAUUUCGCAGCGACCCUCACGGUGACCCCAUCCAGCAAGCCUGCCGAGGUGCCUGUUGAUGGGCAGACCAACGGGGUUCUCGAUGCCUAGAUAAUUCGUGCAGUAGGAGAUGCACUCUUCGGUCAGAAAGCCCCUGGCUAUGCUUCCCUCUGGACGUGACAUGUUGCGAACGUAUCCUUUGAUGACACCAUUCAUCCUUUCGAACGGCAUCAUGCUAUGCAGGAACGUCGGCCCGAGUUGGAUGAUAUCCUCCACGAUAUGGACCAGCAGAUGCACCAUAAUGUCGAAGAAUGCGAGCGGGAAGUACAUCUCAAGCUCGCAUAGUAUCACCACGAUCUCUUCCUGUAGCCUUCCGAGUUGCCUCACGCCAACCGACUUCCGAGAGAUGACGUCGAAAAAGUUGCAUAGGCCAAAUAGCGUUUCACGGACGUGCGCAUCCAUGAUCCCACGGAUUGCAACUGGAAGUAUCUGCGUCAUCAGCACAUGACAGUCGUGAGACUUCAUUCGCUAAACUUCUGCUUCGCUGAGUCUAGGUAUCUGCUUAUCUUCCCCGCGAAACCGUAAGGAAGUUUUACUCCUACGAGGCAGGUGAAAAACUGAUCGAUCUUCGCCUGACUUAGAGUGAAGCACGCGGGAGGGAAGUCAUUUCCGGUCUUCUUGGCCUUUUUGCCUUUGCGACGACUUUCCGUGUCCUGCUUCGCCUCAUCAUCAUCAUCAUUAGCGUGAAGCCCCUCCCUGAGGCCCAUUGAUUUCAAGUCUGCCCUUGCUUUCGGCCCAUCUUUGGUCCUCUCUGGCAUGUUGAGCAGGGUACCAAGCAGACUCUCGCACACGUUCUUCGUGAUAUGCAUGACAUCAAGGCUAUGAGGCACACGAUGGAUCUUCCAGUACGGCAAGUCCCAGAAAACAGACCUCGUUUUCCAUACCUUCAGCAACGGCUCUUGCGCCUUUCACUUCUUUCCUGGCUCUCGCGCCUUUUGCUUCUUUCUCGGCAGUGGGCAAUCUUUCCAAUUUUUCAACAGCUCGUCUAUUUCCUCGCCGCUCCUCGUACGCGGGCGUCUUCGGGUUUCGGUUUCACCAUCGAACAGAUCCUUGCGUUUCCUCCAUGAGUCAUCAUCGCGAAGCCACCUUCGAUGUCCCAUGAACACGGUUUUCGAAGACCCGGGAUCUCUAUCUAGCUGGCGAUACAUUGUGUCAUCCAUGCACCUGACGCAUCCAGAAAAUCCGUGGACCACCUGCCCCACGACAUAUCCGUAACCGAGAUAGUCGUGCACUGUCGUGAGCAGUGUGUCUCUCAUAGGGAAAUAUUCUUUCUCUGCGGCGUCCCACGUAUUGGCUGGCAUUUUCCACAGCGUAUCUAGCUCCUCUUUCAGCAGCCCCAGAUACGGAUUGAUGUCGUUCCCUAGUUGUUUUGGCCCUUCAAUUAGCAUACUCAUGUGAAUGUACUUCCUCUUCAUGCACAACCAGGGGGAAGGUUGUACAUCCACACAAACACAGGCCAGGUGCUAUGUGUGCUUCUCUGGCUGCCAAACUGAUUGACUCCAUCGGUGCUCGCGCCCAGCACGAUGUUCCUUGGAUCGUUCCCAAAUUCUGGGUGUUCGAAGUUCAACGCUUGCCACUGGCUCCCAUCCUUAGGGUGACUCGGCAUCUUGUCUUUUUUAUUUAUCUCCGGAUCAUUUGCGUCAUCUUCUCGCUUCUUCUCCUCCCUAUCCGCGUGCCAACGCAAGAGCUUUGCUACCUUAGGGUCCGCGAAAUACCGCUGCAGACGAGGAGUGAUCGGAAAGUACCACACCACUUUUCGAGGAGCUUUCUUCCUCUUCUUGUAUCAAGUGACGCCGCACACCGGACAUAUGGUAGACUCUGCGUGCUCAUCCCGAUAAAUAAUGCAAUUGUUCAUGCACACAUGGUAUUUCACGUGCGGUAAAUCCAGAGGACACACGAUUUUCAUCGCCUCCUCGAAACUGGUCGGGCACUUGUUCCCCUUGGGAAGACGUUCGUGCCAGAAUGACAUGUUCUCGUCGAAGCAUGCGUCGGUCAUUUUGUGUUUUACCUUCAUCUCCAGAGCCAUGAGCGUUACUUUCAGGCGGGUAUCCUCGGGCCUGCAUCCUUCAUACAAUGGAGUAACCGCGCCUAUCUCCAGUUGAUCCAGCUUGGCUUUCUCUCGGGCGGCAGCUCUUGCGUUAUCCGUCUGCUUGAGAAGCAGCUCUUGAAUAUGAGGAUCCUGCACCCAGCCCAUCGAUGGUCCAUCGUCGUCUGCUCCAGCAUCUUCAUCUUCAUGAUCAUGCCCUUCGUCUGCUCUGGCAUCUUCCUCAUCAUCAUCUCCGGCAUCUUCUACAUGAUGACUGUGUACUGCAUCUACUUCGUGAUCAUGUCCUGGAGAUUCUUCGUCUUCCCGCCCGCCCUCGCCGCGGUUGUCUUGCUGCCCUUCCUCAUUUCUUGCCCGGCCCCCAUGGACGACUUCAUAAUCAUCUUCAUCACCUUGCCACCGAUAGCCAUCCAUGAAACCACGCAAGAGCAGGUGGUCCCGCACCUGUACGGAAUCCGGGUCCAUAAGGCUCCUCAGCUUGCAUCUUCGACACGGACAUCUUAUCUCCGUUUCGUUCUUUUGAAGCAUCUCGGCCUUCGCGGAGCUCAAAGACCUAUUCACGAUGCCUUCGGUCAUCGUGCGGACCAUGGUCGCCUGCGGGGUAGAGCAAAACGAUAUUUUAGAACCAAGAAAAAAAUUGGCAUGACUUUGCCUAAAAAUAGGACCAAAAAGAAUGCAUAGUGCCAAAAUUCUCGCUGAAACGGAAAUGAAUCAACAUUCCGGGAAAAAAUUGGCAACUAUCGCAUUUCAAAUACCAGUACCUGCAAACACAAACAUAUAUGCAACACCACAAACAUAUGCAACACCACAAACAUACAUAGAUCUAGCUAGGCCAUAAAAAGUGCAUGUGCACGUUGUUGGAGGGAGAAAAAAGUAGAUCUACAACAUAAAGAAAGCUUUCCCCUUACUUACCUAUCAAAAAAGGUAAUUUAACCACUUAAUUUGGAGGAGGAGGAGGCAGCCGAGACAAGCUUGGAGGAGGAGGUGGAGAGAAUGACGUGGGGAAAGUGAGUGUGUAGGUGGCUGUCCAAAAUAUCUAGCUGGUCCCAGGUUACUAAUGGCGCACCACCCACAAAUGCGCCAUUAGUAACCCUGGUUACUAAUGGCGCACCAGCUGGCGGUGCGCCAUUAGUAGUUUUGCAACAAAAAAUGAUAGUAGUGGCGCACGGGGUGACUGGUGCGCCAUUACUAGUUAAAACUAGUAAUGGCGCACUAUGCCCCGGUGCGCCAUUAGUAUUUUUGGAAAAAAAUUGUUAGUAGUGGCGCACCAUGGUUGUGGUGCGCCAUUACUGUCUAUCACACUAAUGGCGCACCAACACACGGUGCGCCACUGCUAUAUAGUAGAGGCGCACCGCAUGUCUGGUGCGCCAUUAGUGUCCAUAUUAUCUAUAGCCCUUUUCCUAGUAGUGUCAACUACAACGGUUUUAUUUGCCUUUUGCUAAGUUUCUUUUUCUUUUGCUAAGAUUUCUGAUGUUUUCAAACCAGUGUUUAUCAACCCGGUCGGGCUGUCAACUACAAGUCGUCAGUACAGGACCAAGUUAUAAUCCGGAGACUAUCAGCCCGGUCUGGUUUUGACUCAUAGUCACUAGUAUGGAAUAAGCCGGUGUUUAUCACAACCCGGAACGGUUUUGUUGUAAACCGGCAUUAUAUAACAGGAGAUACUUUUACUCCGUAUUAAGGUUAUUACCUUCAUUACAAGGUUGGUCAGCCAACACUAUGCCUAAAGGUCGCAGGUAUCAUAUAUUUCCAUAUUUGGUUGUCUUUUACAACCUUGGUUAUAAAACUUGGUCAUAUAUAUAGUUGGGUAUCAUGACCCGCCCGGUGGUAAACCACCAGGGUGCUUUAAGCUUUUUAUCUGCAGGAACAACUGGAAUAAAUAGCUAUGGAUUAUGAACAUCAUAUCUCAAGCAUGGUGGAUUAACAUGCAUCAGUUGCAGAUAAAUAUGCACGAAGGCAUAACAGACCAAGUGUUUUAACUAGCCUAUUACAAGGCGUUUCAGUGCCCAAAGGAAUAAUUGUUUCUCAAUAAACAUUGCAGUAUGGAAGAUUAAACCGGCCCCCGGGUAAUGAUCAUUGAGCAGCUUGACCUAACGGCUGCGGGUCAUCUUACACCGGUUCAUCUUCUUCGUCCCUACCCAGCGGCUGGAAGUCAACAGUUGUCCAGUCGAUCCCAGUUAAAGCUUGGAACACAGCUUCGUCGCUUAUAAGGGUGGACGGUUCAAUAUCAGGGGCAUAAGUGUGCUUACGGAUUGGAGGGAUCAGGUUUUGAGCCUCAGGAGCUGGUGCAGCAACCCGCUUGUUAUUGAUAUCAUAACUCGCCUGGUAAUGUGAAAGAUCAGCCUCUUCAGCAAGUGGACAAGCCAGUGGACGUACUUCCCGGUUUAUGGCGCGGAGAUCUUCAGUGCAAAAUUCUGACCCGUCUUCUUUCAUGCUUGGGUAGCCAUUAGCCACGUCCGUCGGGUCAAGAUCAGGCACCCAUGCUUUUGCCCGGGUUAGCGCGGCCAGAGCGCCAGCCCUUGCAGCAGACCUCUUCAGCUCUUCUACCCGGGCAUGCAGCAUAGAUAGCAUGUCUAAGGUAUCUUUGAUUAACGUCAGGGGCGGCUUAUUGUGAGAAGCGGUGCAGAUAAUUCGUUGAGCGCCGGUAUACAUUUGUUCUAUCAGCGUAUAGGCAGCCUUCAGCUUCUUCUGAACAUUAGAGCCCAGAUGACUAAUGCGAGUUCCUGCAUCAUUGCAAACAUCAGUAAACCAGCAACACAUGGGAAGAUAUGUUGACAGUACUAAACACAAGAUGCUUACCAAACACAUCAGCAGUCAUAGCAUGCACUUGUCGCUUUACACCAGUCAGCUCGUCAACCACCGGUUUAAGAGCGGCUUCUGCGUUUUCAGCCCUUUUCAUCAAAGCGGCUUUUUUAGUCUCCCAAUCCGCCCGCUCUUUGUUGAAACCCUCUUUCAGUUUCUCCAUAGCGCUUAGAGCGCGGGUCAACUCUUCCUUCGCGUUGGAGGCUUCAGCUUGCUGGGUUUUGAUGUUAUCUUCCAGAUCAGCAGUUUGGCGUUCCUUCUUGAUCAGCUCCGCCUGUAAAGAGACAGAUACAUAAUGAGUUGACAAUACAUAUUUGAAGUACCAAGCACAUAACAAGUUAUGCCCUUAGUACUUGGGGGCUAAUGCAUAUUUGCUUUUACUCAGAAAUUUUUACAAGUCCCAAGCACAAUACAAGUAUUAAGCUUGGCACUUGGGGGCUAAUGUGUGUUUGCUCAAAAAGCUGUUGAUAUGGGAAUUCUUCUACAGUCCUGGUUCAUCUUUAUAAAAUUAAACCGGCCCUUGGGGACUAUACUGGCGAAAGAGCAGUAUGGCAAAUUUUAAGGAACCGGUUCAUCUUAACAAGGUAAUUCGGUACCUGGAGGCUAAAUAGGCAAUUUUAAGUUAUGACAAAAGUCCCGGUUUAGAUUGGUAUCAUAAACCGUCACUUGGGGGCUACUAGGAGUCGAUACCAAACGGAGUCCAAACGCAGUGAAACUUUUUGUGGAUUUUCUUGGACCAGAAGACAUCCAGUGGGCCAAAGAAGUACCGAAGAGGGAGCCCGAGGUGAGCACAAGACACCAGGGCGCGCCUGGAGGCCCAGGUGCACUCUAGUGGGUUGUGCCCACCUCGGUGGCCUCCCGAACCGCCUCUUUCCUCUAUAUAUAAAUACCCAAUAUUCCAGAAAUCCUAGGGGUGUCGACAAAAAUCAAUUCCAGCCGCCGCAAGUUCUAGAACCACCAGAUCCAAUCUAGACACCAUCAGUGAGGGGUUCAUCAUGUCCAUUAGUGCCUCUCCGAUGAUGCAUGCGUAGUUCUUUGUAGACCUACGGGUCCGUAGUCAGUAGCUAGAUGGCUUCCUCUCUCUCUUUUGAUUCUCAAUACAAUGGUCUCUUGGAGAUCCAUAUGAUGUAACUCUUUUCACGGUGUGUUUGUUGGGAUCCGAUGAACUUUGAGUUUAUGAUCAGAUCUAUCUUUUUAUCCAUUAAAGUUAUUUGAGUCUUCUUUGAUCUCUUAUAUGCAUGAUUGCUUAUAGCCUCGUAUUUCUUCUCCGAUAUUUGGGUUUUGUUUGGCCAACUUGAUCUAUUUAUCUUGCAAUGGGAAGAGGUGCUUUGUGAUGGGUUCGAUCUUAUGGUGCUUGAUCCCAGUGACUGAAGGGGAACCGACACGUAUGUAUCGUUGCUAUUAAGGAUAACAAGAUGUGGUCUAUUUCUACAUAAAUAGAUCUUGUCUACAUCAUGUCAUCAUUCUUAUUGCAGUACUCUGUUUCUCCAUGAACUUAAUACACUAGAUGCAUGCUGGAUAGCGGUUGAUGUGUGGAGUAAUAGUAGUAGAUGCAGGCAGGAGUCGGUUUACUAAUCUAGGACAUGAUGCCUAUAUAAUGAUCGUUGCCUGGAUAUCAUCAUGAUUAUUUGAAGUUUCACUACUAGGGAAAACCUUAUACAGAGAAUCUUACCAGUAGUGAGGGACAAAAACAAGCGCUAUUACUACUUACCAGUAGCGCGUGGCACUAAAACGCGCUGCAGCUAAGUUCAUAGCAGUAGCGCGUCUCAGGGAAGAAGCGCUACAACUACAAUUCCCCUAUUGUUCUCGGUAGGCUACCAAUAGUAGUAGCGGGCUUAGAAAAAGCACGCUACUGCUAAGGUGGUUGUAGUAGCGUGUUUCACGGGGAAAUCGCUACUGCUAAUGAACGGAAAAUAAAAUGGAAAACAUAUGGAAUUGUAAAGGAAAAUGAAAGAAAUAGAAAAAGGGGAAGGAAAAAAAGAAAAUGUGAAGGAAAACAAAUGAAAUAGAAAAAUAAAGGAGAAAGGCGUAGCAGCAGCGUGCUUUGCGGGAAGGCGCUAUAGCUAACUUAGUAGUAGCGCACUUCGUAAGCCCGCGCUAUAGCUAAGUUAGCUAUAGCUAAUGUAGGAGUAGCGCCUUUCCUGGAACGCGCUACUGCUACUUCUGACUUAACCGCGCGGUUCUUUCUUCCCCACGACCACUUCCCCCAAAUCGAACUCCUCCGCUGUCGCCGCCGUCAUCGCCCAGCAUCACCGUCGGCCACCGCGCGCUCUCGCGUCGCUCUCCGCAAGCCCUCGACGCCGCCCCAAACCCCGACCUCGACGCCGCCCCCGACCCCGACCUCGACGCCGCCCCCGACCCUGACCUCGACACCGCCCUCCACCGCGCGCCCGAGCCCCGACCCCGACCUCGACGUCACCUGCCCCUCCCUCGCCGUCGGCACCCGAGGUGAGCACGCCUCCUCCUCCCCCUCCCUACCUCUGCCUAACUAAAGUUCCUAGGGUUCAUCAAAUUUUAGAUUGCAUCAAAUUAGUUAGGGUUCAUCAAAUUAGAUGCUAAUUAGUGCAGUAGUUCCUAGGUAGGUUCAUCUAAUUAGUUAGUAAGAACUAGGGCAGUAGUGCUUAAUAGAAUUAGUAAGAAAAUUAAUAGAACUAGUUGAACUAGUUUUUUGUGUAAGAACUAGUGGAAUUAAUAGAACAAGUGUACUUUUAGUAAGAAAAUUAAUAUAACUAGUUGAACUAGUUUAUUUUUAGUAAGAACUAGUAUAUUUUUAUUUAUAGUAAGUUUAUUUUUAGUAAGAACUAGUUGAAUCAAUAGAACUAGUUGAACAUGUCACAUUUGUUGUUAUUUUUUUAGUUAAAGAAAUUAUUCCGCAUCGACGUCGAUGAUGCCUAUCCCUCAUCCUCGUCGUCGACUCGGCGAAGGACACCUGCUUGAUCAGAUGGGCCAUGUCCGGGACUGGGCUCCGCCGGGUUGAUACUGGGAGGCGCUACCUACCGAGGGGCGCAGCUUGGUGAGGAGCUAGCCCGUCGUUGACCCGAACCUUCUUUGUUGGCGGUCGCGUGGGACAGUGACGGUGCAGAGGCUUGUGGACCCCGCGGAGGUGGUAUGUCACCGUGUCAGCGAGGAGGACGCGCACGUCCAUCGCUACAUGGUUGCGUUGGAGCGCAGGUUCUCCAAUACCUGGCAGGUUCUCCAGGGAUCUCACUGGAGCUAUGAUCCUGUGAUGGUUCCUUCUCUUUGGGUGUCCACCGCCCACGCCGAUACCCGUCGUUCGCUAGGUUUUUAGUUGUAUUAGUGAUGUUAUAUGUAUGAUACUAUUCGGGAUGUAUUAGUGAUAAUAUUCGACGAUGUACGGACGCAAGAGAUGAUUUACUUUUGCUUAUUUAAUGCAUGCUAAUUUGAAUACUUAUUUAUUUUACGAUUUGGUUUUGCUUAUUAAAUGCUCAAAUUGGAGAAUUAAUCAUAUUUUGAAUGCUCAAAUUGUACCCCACUAUGCAAGGCGUAUGCAUUUGAUUAGUUGAUAGCUUAUAGGGUUUUUGUUUUUGCAGAAAUCUAGGAGCCCCUCCAUCAUCCCCGCCGUCGUCCCCGUCACCGACCCCCUCCGACCUCGAGGUGAGACCAGCCAAAUCUCCAUGUCAAUAUGAGUUCUAUAAGAUAUUUUGAAAUGUUUUUGCUCAUAUUUUCAACCAUUGAAAUGCAAUGACCAUCAAGUUUGAAUAAUCAUAUGAUGUAGAUAAAAACAUGUAUAUCUUGUGUUGCUCAAAUAGGAUAUGUGAUUGCCCAAGUGGCCGGUCAUGUUUGCAGGUUACACCUCCGAGUGGCCUAUGUUUUGCCAGAGUGUUUAUUAACUUCCGUUCCGAUAAAUUUCAGGCGCUCGAUAUGUCCUUUUUUAGUAAAGGUCAUGCCAGAUUUUUCCGUGAAUUUUGGCAUGACUUGUGCUAGAAUAUGUAGGAAAUAUCGAGUGGCCUGGAUUUUCUAGAAAGAUAAUUAAACGAUAUUUCGGGUUGACUUAAAGUCUGUCGAGGCUCCACCAUAUAUGAGAGGAUGAAGAAUCCCGACUGUUGUCGUGGGGGUCGUUUCUCCUUCUUCUCAUUGUGCUAGACCUUUGUUAUGCACUAGGGGAAGGAGGAGUGGCGACCAUCACCGACGGUCGCAAAUGUCAGAGAGGAAUCAGUGAGGGAGAGUCUCCACCAUAUAUGAGAGGAUGAAGAAUCCCGACUGUUGUCGUGGGGGUCGCUUCUCCUUCGUUCCCGUGUGCUAGACAUUUUGGUGUAAUGCACUCGGGUACGAAAGGAGGAGCGAUCAUCACCAACGGUCGAAUGUAUACACCACGUGAGCUGAGAGUUUUCAAGAAAAGACUCGACAGAUCGAUAGUCAACUCGUGAUGAAUAAUAAUGAUCUAAUUUAAUUUUUUUAGUACAUAUAUUUAAUUGUACAAGCUUAAUCUUUGAAUUAUGAACAUAGGAAAUGUCGUACUCGGACGACGGAAGUCUUCCGGGGGAGUGCGACUGGUGCAACGACGACCGAGAUCUGUGCGACAUGCCUCACCUGGACGAAGAUCGGCGCUUCAACAUUAAGCUCCAGGAGACCUUCGAUGUUGAAAUGGUACACAACGAUGACAAGUGUUUUUUUCGUAAUUAAGCACGACUUCAACUAUUUCAACGUGUAAUUUUCAUCUUUUACAAUUCGACUAGCUUAUCCCAUGCCAUGCAAGACGCUAUGUCUUGGAGAGGAUGGGUUUUGAAGACCAUGAAAGUUUAGAAACAAAGAAAAUUCACCUAAGGACCCAUCAUGGUAUGGAUUUUGAAGUAUAUAUAUACAAUUCUCAGAGCGUAACCCACUUUGGUUGCACAAAUUGGGAAGCACUUUGCAAGAUGUAUGGUUUUUAUGAUGAUAUGGUUGUCACCAUGGAUCUUGGUGAUCCUGACAUCGAGCAAGACAAUAUGGACAUGUGGGUCCUUGUUGAUACGCUUCCAAUUCUACCGCUAUGUAAGUUUCUCAAACAUAGUUAUUAACUAAUUUAUAUUGUUAUUUCAAAAUAGUUGACAGCUUUUUUCCAUUGACAACUUAUUUUCAUUCUUCAGACAAUGUGCGGAAGAUGGUAGACAGGACCUACUACACCGAUGGCUCCGAAUUAACUUAUCAGGAGAAAAAUCAUCUGAUCGCAUUUUGUACUGAACUUGAGAAUUACAAUAUCUAUUAUCAAACUCCUCCACAUUAUGGUCAAUACGUGCCAGUAGUGCAUGUGUUGAACCACGGUAACAUCCAUGGAGAUGCCAUGGUAAGAUUUUUUACUAUUACGACAUCCGUGCAUCUUUUGCAUACUUCUAAAAAUGAACUACAUUGCUAACUACGAAGUUAUUACUACGUUUUUCUACAGAAAAUCCCGAAGGAUUGUGUGCCUCAUCUGAUGUAUCAGAAUGGUCGCCUUGAUGUUUUGAACAUACAACCAGGUCAUCCUACGAAUCUCACCUGUCCAUAUCGGAUUUAUAAAAUCGGUGAACACAUGGUAAUCAAAGAAUGGAAAAAAUGUAUGGACAGUCGUAAGGAGCUUCAUGGAAGCAACAUUGUGCGAAAGGAAAGAAUUGGAGAUAGGAUAAUCUCCAUUCUCCAUAAUGGAGAGUCAGGGGCUAUCUUGUUUUAUGCUAUUUUACCUAAGAGAAUAUAGUCGGUCCUAAGAGAAUGUAGUAGGUCCUAUGAGGUACAAUGUUUAUUAUGUGGUACAAUGUGUUAGAGAUGAUGAUGAGGAGUAGUUGUGAUUAUGACUAGUGACCAACUUGCUAUGUGAUGUCUCAUUGAUGAAAAUGAUGAUCAUGAGGAGGUGUUAUAUGACAAUGAUGUAUUAUGAUGAUAAGUUGUUAAUGAUAUGAUGAUGAUGACGAUAUUUAUUAUAUCAUUGGGUGAAAGAACCGCAGAUUAGUUUCAAGUGGAUGUCCAUCCACUUGAAACUAGUCCACAGUUCUUUCACCGAGUGAUGUAAUAACUCAUUAUGAUGUAAAAACAAUCUCUAAAUUGCUGCUGUAUGAAAACUUGUAUAAAGGUGUAUGAAUACAACAUGAAAUAAAAAAGAAAUAAAAUACGGAAUAAUAGUAGUAGCGCGGGCUGGGAGAAGCGCUCCUAGUAAUUACUAGUAGCGCUCUUUGGAGAAAGCGCUACUACCAAGUUUAUAUAGUAGUAGCGUGGGUUAACCCACGCUACUGCUAACCUUUAACUGUAGCGCCGUACCAGUAGCGCUCCUGCCCGCGCUACUGUUAGGCCUAAAACACGUGCUCCUGCUAGGCUUUUCCGUAGUAGUGUUUUAUCAAUUGCCCAACAGUAAUUCGUUUACCCACCGUUUGCUAUUUUUCUCGAGAGAAGCCACUAGUGAAAUCUACGGCCCCCGGGUCUCUUUUUUUAUUAUAUUUGCCUUUGCGAUCUAUUUUUAUUUGCUUUUAUUUUCAUAUCUAUAUUUCCAAAACCCAAAAAUACCUUGCUGCAUUAUUCUUAUUUAUUUUAUCUCGCGUUCCCGCGAGAUCUAUUUAUCCAAUAUAUCAUAUUUUUAUCCCCUCUACUUGCCAAUUUCUGGCGCCGUUGCUUGAAAGGGAUUGACAACCCCUUUAACAUGUCGGGUUGCGAGUAUUUGUUAUUUGUGUGCAGGUGUCGUUCAUGUAGUGUUGUGUGGUUCUCCUACUGGUUCGAUAACCUUGAUCUCAUCACUGAGGGAAAUACCUACCGUUGUUGUG
RNAcentral lists this long non-coding RNA (75661 nucleotides) under Triticum aestivum (bread wheat). RNAcentral's name for it is "long non-coding RNA (TAES_LNC008867)". The record is from RNAcentral. Lineage: Eukaryota; Viridiplantae; Streptophyta; Magnoliopsida; Poales; Poaceae.